This 53431-nucleotide long non-coding RNA is filed under the name Sorghum bicolor (sorghum). RNAcentral describes it as "long non-coding RNA (SBIC_LNC014203)". Lineage: Eukaryota; Viridiplantae; Streptophyta; Magnoliopsida; Poales; Poaceae. The record is from RNAcentral.
GAAGUACAACCAGAGGAAGAACCGACAGGCCGGCCUCUCCUCUAAUCCUCCUUCGCUCUCCAUCUCGCUACUAUAUAGAUCUACUCUAGUUUAGAGAAGAGAGGAGAGCUCUCAUCUCUAAACCCUAGCUUUUGCUCUGUCUAUGAAUAAUGAAUAAUGAUCAAGGGGUGCCUCCUCUAGGGGCCAGGGGGUCUGGUUAUAUAGUCCCCUCAAGUGAACCUGGGCCGUCGGAUCAAACCGACAUUGAUCAAACCGACAUUGAUCCUUUAGGUCGGUGGAGAUCUCCCGAGAGAAAGAGUCCUGAUUGGGCUCCAAGUCAGGGCGGGCGCCCAGGGCAGGAGGGCGGGCGCCCUGCCUCUGGCCCCGUUCGGCCUCCGCUUCCUUCCCGUGGCUUCUGGAGUCUUCUAGAUGUAUGAUAAUUACACGGCACGUUAAUAUCUCUAUGUAAUCCCGACAUGUGGGCCUUUCUUCCAUAUUUCCAGAUAACCCCCUGCAGAAAUAGACAAACACCAAAACUCAUGGAAUUCUGUCAGAUAAAACCCUAAGUCUAGAUGUUGAUUUCAUUUGGAUCCUUUUCUUUGUUUAUUUGAUAAUUAAAUUUGAUACUUAAGGACCGUCAACAAACUCCCCCAAGCUUACCUCUUGCUCGUCCCUGAGCAAGGAUAGACUCAGCAAUGGAUCAGAAGUUGUUGCAAUAUCUUAAAAAUUUGACGGUACACAUGCUUUUAAAUAAGAUCUCAUCUCUGAGUUAGAGUAAACUGUCAAGAACUAAAACUUACUUACUUUAUCUUUCACCAUGGGACUUGUAACCAUCACUUCUGUCUUGAGUAGUUAAAGAUAGAACAGUCUAGCCAAGUGCCAUGUCUCUUAUUCUUGAUCAGCUAUAGCUCUAGAGUUUUUGCAGAUUUUCAAAUAAAACUCAGAGAUUCCUUGUAUGACUCUAUCUAGUCUCUCUUUUGUGGUAUUUCUAGAUCCUUACCAAGGCAGUGAUGGUAUAUGCCUUCUCUCAAAGUAUGUAGUAUUUGUGGUAUGAGGCAUAGUGAUAUUGCCUUCUCUCUCACCCUACUCUAAUAAGGUUUUGAUAUCUGGAGCUCAUAGGUGGGAGAUAAAGUAUACAUACUUACAAGACAUUUAUUGUAUAGUCAAACCAUGGACCAAAGAAACAAAUCAAUAAGCCAAAUCAAGAUGUGCAUGUGUGGCGAAUGAAUGGUGUAUGGUGAUGAUGGUGAUAACAAUGGUGGAAGUCUAAUUCUACUUUUGCUCUUUUGAGGGGAUACAUACCUUCCUUGCUUUUUUGAAACUUUAUGAGGAGAAUGAGAUGCUCUUCUUUUUCUUUCCUCUCAGGUGAGUAUCUUGUACCCCUAAUUCUACUGUCGGACACUUGUCCAUUUUUACCUCUCGUCUCACUUUUUCUUUCUUUCGAGGUUCCGGGCACAUGCCCCUUUUUAUUUCCUCGUUUAUUUUUUUUUCUUUUUUUUCAGAGCACUCAUCUCUUGAGAUAAUAUAGCAAGUGGUAGUAGCAAGAUAACUUGAGCAUUUAUUUCACAAGGGAAAACAAAAAUAUUUUUGGCUAUUCUCUCCUGGAUUAGGAGUAGAAUAUUUUUGGGUGGUUCUGGAGAUGGACAUGGCUGGAUAUAUGUGGAUGGUACUUCUGGAGUAGAAGUAGCAUAUAUGAGUGAACGUGCAAGUGAAUCUUGAUUUAACCACAUGACAAGCUCCUAAGGGUCUACACAGCUUGACCACACUCAAUGCUCAUAAGCAGUAAAUAGUAAAUGUGUGGCUCAAAGUCUAGCAAGCAUGUAUAUAUGGCUGUGGUAGGAAUUUAAACUUUCAUCAUACAGGAACUCAUCAUGCAAUAUUUUAAAGAUUUUUCAAAGAUAAAAUUCUCCAGAAUUCUAGCAUCUCUAGGAACAGAUAAAUAGCAGCUCAACCUUCCCAUAUCAUAUCCGUUAACAACUUAGAUUUCAGAUCAAGUUUUCAUCCCACAAGUUUAGAUCUAGAGCAAGCUUUAAAUUAUAACAGUUAUGUCUAAACUUGAGAGAGAACUUCAAAUUUGCAAAUUAGGCAGAGCAACUAUUCAUCAUUUCAUGCUAGAGUUUUAUUAUUAAGAUUCAGAUUAGCAUAGCCACUUUAUUUAUCUAUUAAGCACAUUAAGCAAAAGAUAUAUAUAUAAGCACAAAACCUUUAUUUGGUUUUUCAUAGUUUAUGUAUUUUAAUAUUCUAAUAUAAUAUAAGUAUAAAGAUAGGUAGAAAUACUUAGCGAGAUAAAUGAGGGUGCUCUCCCCCAAGCUGAAUUUUGACGUAAUUUCUCUUGAUGUAGCUAGCAGGUGGCAGAGGUGUAUUUGAAAGUCACCAGCAUUCUGACAGCGAUUAGAAUGUCCUCCGUCUGCUAGUCUUCUUGAUUCUUAAAUUCUGUGGAGCUCAAAUAGACAACAAAGCUUGUAGAACUAAUUAAGUGUUAGCAUAAAUAUCUAGCCUUCAUCAUGUUGAGCUUCCUCAAUAAAUAUUACUCCCUGUUUUUAUGUUUUAUUUUAUAAAGCAGAAAAGAAAUAUUUAUUUUAGUUUUAUGCCACCACAGUGAAGGUACUUAUGGGUUUUAUGCCACUCGUAUACGCACAUGGGGCUUAGUAUUUUUUAACAUUUUUAUUUUCUUCUCAAGAUAGCAUGAUUAACUAAUAAUCUACUUAAGGAAAGUAAAUAAUUAAAGGGGAAAGAGAAUGGAGAAAGGAUAAAUAUGGAUAACUACCGAUCUUACCUUUCGGCGAGGGUUCAAUGUUUUAAGUCUUCUUAACAAGACUUCUCACCGUGUUCAUUCUUCAGGUGCGUCAUUUGAUUCAGGUGCGGACCUUGACGUCUGCACCUCUUCGUUUGCCCAGCAGUUGGAAGUGCGGCGUUGGCAGUAUCCUGCUCAGUGUGUUUGUGCUCGUAGAUCCAGGUCCUUCACUUGGUAGAGUCUGAGAGUUAUAAAACUCCUCCGUGUUUUGCUCGAAGUGUACCUGCUCAUAGAGACAAGGCAGAGAUCAAGUGCAUGGGUCCUGUUGGUGAAAAACACCAACAGAACCUAAAGUGUAUUUGUUCUUCUCUAACCCUAAGCAUAGUGAGCAAGACAAAGUUGAUGGAUGAAAAGUUCAUGAGUGUAGCACUUAUAACAUUUGUCAUAUCAGAUCGCUCAACCUUAUGGAAAGAUAAUCUAUCUAUGUAUAUGUCUUUUCCUUUAUAUCUCUCAAUGAUUGAAUGUGUAACAUUUUAGCUCAUAUGAUUAGGAGUGUGGGAUCAUGGAGGUAGUACUAAGAACAAGGAUUAAAGGACUAAACAUGUUGAAUCAGUUGGGUUGGUUAAUCUAGAGUUGUAAAUCAUACAUGUUUGCCUCUUUUAUUUAUAUGAACGCCAGAACCAAAGAGAAGCUUAUAAAAGUGAUAGUCAAGUAUCUUAAGGUGUUACCUUACUUGAAGAGUGAUGGUGUAGUAUCACCUUGUGGAAGCUUUCCUUUCUUAGUGGUUGUGCAUCGUGUUUGUGGCACCCUCCAUGGAUUAUCUCUCUAUGAUGAAUGAGCUAUGUCCUUCUUGUGCAAAUUGUUAAACUUCAUGUGUCACUCACUUCGUCUCUGAUGUGAGUUUAUCUCAGGACUUCCCAAAUCGAUAUUGAAAUUUUUUCUGCAGGGGUUAGUCCGACAAAAAUAUACCAAUUCUACACAAGCAGUUUUUAGUUCAAUAACCGAACUAGACUCCAUGUCUAAUCAGAUUAAGGAAGGCUGUUUAACCUAAGCACCAUGCUUAAUUUAAAAGCCAAUAGAAGUAUGUGCAGUACUUCCAAACUAACACUUACUAGUAAAUAGACAAAGGUAACAUGACAACAUUUAUAGAGAUCCACUCAAGUGGAGAUGAAGUAGUGUGAUUAGUAUUUAACAAUUUGAGCAUGUCUUAAAGGUAGGGACAACCAACAUAGCAACAUGGCAAAGGAUGUUUUUAUGUAAAGUACUCCCCCAAGCUUGAAUUUUGCAGAAUUCAAGUUUGGAUGAAUUUAAUUUAGUGUUGCAUGAUGAUUGGUUGGACAUACCUUGUGCUUGUCAUUCAUCCGAUCUUCUUGCUCCAAUCCUGGAAAGGUUAGUGACAAGAAUACCCGAAGGAAUAUUUUUACAAUUAUCCUUAUAUGCUCAAUACACAAGGUAAUGUUGCAAAUAAUUAAAAACUCUUGUUACGAUCUGAUCAGUGCUUAUUUUAGGACACCAAGCUUGUCCUUGGGAAACCAUCAAUUUAUGUCGGCGAAGUGGUUUCCCUUCCAACGCUGACCUAAAUCAAGAUCAACUCAACGAGAUCUGCAAUAUUUAUUAUAGACAUAUGCAUCGACAACCGCCCUCUUAAAGUUUUUAUAAAUAGAAAGGAAGAGGGGGUUGGAGAUCUCAAAUGUGGUGAUGUUGGAGAGACCAAUAGAUUGGGAAGAUGUUGCAUAUGAGCAUGAAGUAAACAAAGUGGCUAUGAAAUAAAUUCCAUGCUCAUUAAUGUUAUCUUCGUCUCCAAUCUGAAUGUUCAGAGUUUCUCUUGGAUUGGUCUCACUUAUGUCCUCUUCUAUAGUUGGAUGAAUCCCAUCUUCAAAGGGAGUCAAGAGCUCACCAUUUGAAAUUGAACCAAAGUCAGAAUUCAUUAAGGCUUCUUCCUUAUCCAUCCAUUCUACACAUUCUAGCCAUUUGGAACUUGUGAUCAGGAAAGGGGAGCUGAUAGAAUUUUCUAUAUGGCUUAGCUCUCCUUCACUUGAUAUGUCAUCCUCAACUUCUUCAUAACAGGAACCAGGAAAUUCUCUAAGAGAACCAUUAUUGCGAGGAUUUGAAUUAUCCCUGCUUGAAGGUCUCUUAUGGAACCAGAAGUCUAAACCAUCAGCAUCUGAAAGAUUUAAGGUCGGAAUUCCUUCCUCCCUUGGAGAAUUUUGGGGUAUUGAUGGUUUAGGAUCGAUAGCUAAAGUUUGGAAUUGAAGUGGUUGUGAUCUGGCUAUCGAAACUUCUUCUUCUUGUCUAGGAACUGGUUCUGUCUCUUUUUCAGGGAUAUAAAAGCUAGGAGACUUUACACUUAAUAAAUCAAUCAAAUUCCAAGCUUCACUAGCAGGUAGGUGAUAGAAGGAUCCUCUAGAGGCUGUAUUCAAGGUUUGCUUGUUUUCCCCACUAAGGCCCUCAAAAAAGUGAAUUAGAAGAACUUCUUCUCAAAUAGAAAGCUUUGGGCCAGUGAGAGUAAGGUUAAUAAAGCGGUCCCAUGAUUUCCUAAGAGAUUCUUCUUCCAGUUGUCUAAAAGAAAUAAUCUCACGCCGAAGUUCCACCACUUUGGAGAUUGGAAAAUAUUUAUAAAGAAAACUACUAUAUAACUCCUUCCAGUCUCCAUGAACACUCCUUACUUUGACUUUGUACCAAUGUCUAGCUUUUCCUGUUAAAGAGAACGGAAAGAGCUUCCAUUUAAGGGUCUCAUCGGACAUGCCUUCUAUGCGAAGGAGGUCACAGACUCGAUAAAACUCUCUUAGGUGUGUGUAUGGGUUUUCUUCACCUUCUCCUGAGAAAGGUUGUUUUUGAACAAAUUCUAUGUAUUCGGGGUCUAUCUCAAAACUAGAUGCUAUAAUAGGCUGUAGUGGUUCGAGAUGUGUGCCCGUAGGUCUAUGAAAUUCAUAGAUAGACAUGUUUGAAUUCAUGAUAGACCAGAGAUUAAGGAUUAGAUAAGAAGAAAGAAUAGUAGAGAUGAGGCAAAGGAUAAAAGGAAAAGAAUAUAUAUUUUUUUUAUUUUUUUAGAAAAUGAUUAAGCUAGUUGGUAGUCAACUCAGCAACCAUUUCCCCGGCAACGGUGCCAAAAAUGCUUGUUGACACUUGCUAACACCACUUGAAUACUAGGUUGUCAUCCCCAGCGUGGCACUAGAGUGUACUAUGGUAUUUCUACGCACACAGAUAAUCCGCAAGCGCACGGAUACCGUUAUAGCUUUUACUCGGUUAAAGGUUUUAUCGUAUCCAUAGGGAAACGGGAGAACUGAUCUACGCUCUAACUUAACCAAGAUAGAUAGAUAAGUGUAAAUAGGAAAGAUGGUAGAAUCGAAUAAGAACAAUAUUAAAGGUAAGAUAACAGUGGGUGAUAAUAUGGGAACAGAGAAUAGAGCAACCUAGUAUAUGGGCAAUGGUAGCAGAAUAGAGAGGAUAACUAUGGUUUCUCUACUUCAAAGGGGUAUGUCUAUGUCUGGGACGAACCACGUGAUAAGAAUACACCACAAAGGAUGCUUAUCCAUAGGCCGAUAAACCCUACCCGUCCUGCUAACGAGAGGUGGACUACAGAGGACCAACGUAACUGUCACCUAUGCGGCCUACCACACGAUCCAGCUAGACAGGGGAUAUCCACAAGUAAUCUAGAUCUAAGCACCUCGCUUACACCUAUACUACAACUCUCACCUAUAGUGUCCUAUAGAUUAAAGUACUUAAAAGUGUUGUGAACCAGAACAUACAUGAUUAGUAAUUGCAUAAUGAAUUAGAAGUAGAUUACCAGAGUCAUCCCAUGAGCAAGCUUGAUUAGAGCUUGAUCAUGACGAAGUACAACCGGAGGAAGAACCGACAGGCCGGCCUCUCCUCUAAUCUUCCUUCGCUCUCCAUCUUGCUACUAUCUAGAUCUACUCUAGUUUAGAGAAGAGAGGAGGGCUCUCAUCUCUAAACCCUACCUUUUGCUCUGUCUAUGAAUAAUGAAUAAUGAUCAAGGGGUGCCUCCUCCAGGGGCCAGUUGGUCUGGUUAUAUAGUCCCCUCAAGUGAACCUGGGCCGUCGGAUCAAACCGACAUUGAUUGAACGGUUAUUCUUGAUCAUUUAGGUCGGUGGAGAUCUCCCGAGAGAAAGAGUCCUGAUUGGGCUCCAAGUCAGGGCGGGCGCCCAGGGCAGGAGGGCGGGCGCCCUGCCUCUGGCCCCGUUCGGCCUCAGCUUCCUUCCCGUGGCUUCUGGAGUCUUCUAGAUGUCUGAUAAUUGCGCGGCACGUUAAUAUCUCUAUGUAAUCCCGACAUGUGGGCCUUUCUUCCAUAUUUCCUGAUAACCCCCUGUAGAAAUAGACAAACACCAAAACUCAUGGAAUUCUGUCAGAUAAAACCCUAAGUCUAGAUGUUGAUUUCAUUUGGAUCCUUUUCUUCGUUUAUUUGAUAAUUAAAUUUGAUACUUAAGGACCGUCAACAUAUGCUAAAACUAUUAAAGCUCUACUUAUAUAUCUUUCGAGAAGAAGGCAAAUGCCUCAGUUUUAUUUUGAGAACUUACAAAAAAACUCCAGAACAAAGGUAAGACAGAAUAACUUGAAACAUAGUGCUUGACUUGAUCAUUCUGUUUUUCAAUCACUUAAGACCUUAUGAUAACUUAAAAACCCUCUAGGAAGAGGCAUACAAGUAACCACUGUUUUCUUGCUAAUUUUAGCUUUGAUCAGGGACGAGCAAAGGUUAAGCUUGGGGGAGCUUGUUGACAGUCCUUAAUCCUCACAUUUAACUGUCAACUAAUCAUAGAAAAGGAUCCAAAUGCAACCAACACCUAGACUUAGGGUUUUAUCUGACAGAAUUCCACGAGUUUUGGUGUUUGUCUAUUUCUGCAGGGGGUUAUCAGGAAAUAUGGAGGAAAGGCCCACACGUCGGGUUUACAUAGAGAUAUUAACGUGCCGUGCAAUUUUCUAUCAUCUAGAAGAGUCCAGAAGCACGGGAACAAACGGGAGGCCGAACGGGCCCGGGUGCAGGGCGCCCGCCCUCCCCCUUGGGCGCCCGCCCUGCUACAGUGCCCAAUGAGAGUCCUUUUCGCGGAUCGUGCUCCACCGACCUAAGGGAUCAAGGAAAACCGUGCGAUUAAUGUCGGUUUGAUCUGAUGGCCCAGAUUCAUCUGAAAAGACUAUAUAAGCAAGGCCGCCUGGCCCCUGGAGAUCAUACCUCUUCUACAGAAUCAAAGCUAGGGUUUCAAUUCUUCAUCCAAGUAGAGAGGAUCCCUCUAGUUCAUCUAGUUCUACCUCUAGUUCAUCUAGUUCUAGUUCUAGUUCAUCUAGUUCUAGUUCUAGUUCUAGUUCCUCUAGUUCUAGUUCUAGUUAGUUCUAGUUGUAAUCUAGAAAAUAGAGAGAGAGAAGAGGAGAGCGGAGGAGGAGGAGGAGCCGGAUCUGUCGGAUCUUCCUCAACAUUGUACUUUUGCGGCAACUGGUUCGUUCUUCAUCGUUCUCUAGGUUCUUCAGUUCAUAAUUCCUGAGUUCUUUAAUUACUUUUAUUUACAUUCAAGUUAUUUAUUAGAUUCCGGCUUGCAUCAAGUGGUCUAAUCUUUGCAACAUUAGAGUAGUAAUUAAUAGAUUAGACGUGGUGUUUAGUCUUGCAAUUACCUGAAAUUGCACCCAAUCCUGCGGAUUGUUGUGGUAGCCCUAGGAUAGUGACAGCCCUAACGGUCGACGUAUUCCACCUCGUUCGGAUCGGUGUUUGUAGGACCGUAGUGAGAGCUUCCUAGCCCCCUUCUCAUCUCUUUCUGUGGUUAGUGUUCUGAUGUCCCGAAAUAAAUAAUCUUUGAAGUAAUUCUUGAUUCUUAGAUCAACUAGAGAACUCUCAGGAAACUUCCUCUCGUCCCAACAAAAAUAAUUAUAUAGUUAUCCUUGGGCGAUCUUGAAUCUUAAUUAGUACACUCAUAUUCUCUGUGGAAAAUUGAUACUCUGGAAUACUUCUGAGUGAAAGCUACAUCGGUAUCCGUGAGCUUGCAGAUUUCUUUCUGUUUGCGUUUAAAAUAAUCAACAGACCACAGCUCAAUUACACUACAACUGAUAAAGAGCUUGUGGUUGUUGUCUUUGUUAUAGACAAGUUUAGAUCUUACUUAGUGGGGGCAAAGAUAAUCAUCUAUUCAGACCAUGCUGCUCUCAAGUACCUCCUCACUAAGAAAGAUGCUAAGCCUCGUCUAAUUCGAUGGAUUCUUCUACUCCAAGACUUUGACAUAGAAUUCCGAGAUAGGAAGGGAGUAGAGAAUUCCGUAGCCAACCACUUGUCUAGGCUUCAAUAUAAGGAAACACAUGAUGUGUCGAGGGUGUUCAUAAGGAGAGGAUCCGUACCCCAACCAAUGUUCAUAAGGAGAGGAUCCGUACGCAAAUCAAGGCCCUUGACUCGACGCCCCUGCUCACACGCGUGACUACCAAAACACGAUGCCAACCAUAGCCUCAAACAUGGAAAAAGGGUCACGCAAAUCGGCAGAGGCUCGACCGGACAGCGACCGUCGAAUACGGAACUGGCUCAUACGAAUCGAUAGGCCUCGAGCGCAAGGACGCCGUCCGCCGCCUGACGCGGGUACGGGAACCAGGGCAUUUAAUGCGCCUGCCGUGUUCUCACCUAACCCGACAGCCAUGGGAAGCAUGAUAGGGAGCGAGCACCCGUCCAAUCCCCCCUUUUUUGCAGCUUUAUCCCUUCAGAAGAGCUAGGGUACGGCCGAGUACUGCGAGACAGUCGUGAUGUCGCUUCACAACCCCCCUCAAGACAUCCAAAGUCAGCGCAUCGAUCAGCGAGGCCAUGCGCAAUGCCGGACCGUCGAGCGAACACGUUCCUUCCCAAAGAAGAAUCAGGCGGUGAAAGACAACACCUCAACCACUCCAGACAUGACUCCUGUCACGACGUACAGGCGUGCCCACGGUUGAGCCAAUCCAGGACAGCGCACGGGAGCCAAAUUCGGAAGCACGCGUAAUCAUCACCAAAGUACUGAGUAACAAGAUGGCUCGAGGCCACACCGGUAUGGAAGCCACGAGCAGGUCAGCGCACCACGCCCCUAUCGACCCCUACUCUAUAACCUACGCCAUGUAACCUAGGCCUCCCCUUGGAACUAUAAAAGCGGAGACAUAGGAAAGGAUGGGGGGACGACAUACCUAGAAGAACAACUAUACAUCGCCUCCAUCUAGAACUCAGAAUCCAUCACAACACCGACUUGUAUUAGCCCCUAUACAAGCACUGAGGUGCAAGACAAUAGAAACGUCUCCCCCCACUGGACGUAGGGACUUCUGUUGCCCGAACUAGGAUAAAUCUUUGUGUCUUUCUCACAUCACCAUCUGGGAAAGGGAACACACACACAAGUUUUACUCAUUGGUGUGACCCCCCAGGGGUAAAACACCGACAGUUGGCGCGCUAGCUAGGAGUCCAGCGUGUUUUUUCACCAACUUCCCAUCUCUUUCCAGAUGGCCACUCUCGUUUCACCAAUCCCGCGUUCCACGGUGAUUUGGUUCGGGAGCCUCGAGUUCAUGUCUACUGGUUUCGGCUACGAAAUGAUCCUGCUCUCAGUCGAGGGAUCGGGACGAGCUCGCAUUGCACCCGCACGAUCGAAGGCCCCAAGAUAGCCUCGCCACCAUGCCUCCCUGCCUAAGAAGAGGCGUGGACAGCACCGCCACCUCCCCUCUCCUACUUCACGGUCGUCAGCUCGUGCUAGACGAACGGAGGUGCAGAAGCCGACAGCCCGGCGCGCUGAAGCCGCGGAUACGGCGGCCCGACGUCACGAUGGCCGCGCGGCGACGUUGGGUGACGACGCGCCUCGCGUGCUUCUGCCCUCGAUGAUGCUACUACCGCACGGGUUGUUCGCCCCUAGAAGAACGCACCCGUUCGGUCUGGACAACGCCGCGACGUCGCUCGCUAGGACGAUAUGUCCGAACGCCUAGACGUACGUGGAGCGACCAAUGGUCCUUCCUCACGACGCCGGAGCACAGCAGCAAGCAGCUGAACUGCCGAACUUCUCCCAGGUGUGAGGCCUCCGACGCCUAGGACCUGGGUGGUACACAAUCACCUCACUCAGGCAGCGGCUGGUGGAAGAAGGACGCGAAUGUUUCUACACUGCCGAGACGGAUCCCGACUUUGAAUCCGACAGCUACGACCCUACGAGGGAAUGCUUCAACAUCGACGGGGAGGUGGAGACCACAGACGACACACAAGAUGCCGUCGCCGGCGGCCGAGCCCCUGUAGCAAGAGAGGACCCUAGGACACCUGGGAACAACGGUCAGGUCGACCCUCUACCUCAGGAAGACAAAGCCGUGCAACUUGCGCAGCUACGGGAGCUCAAGGCAAAGCUUGACGAGGAUCGCGAGCGCCUCACCUAGCUCGAGCGGGCCCUCGAGCAGGACCAACCAUACCCGCGUGGAGGAGGCGCACGCGGAUGACCUCGAGAGGUAAACUGACAGAUCGUCAGAGACGGGGAGCCAGAACAACCCAUCGGCCUUUUCCCUCGAGCAGGCCAGAACGUCGUGGCAGCGACCAUGCUACUACGUAACAUGCCUGAACCCUCAAACUCUCAAGCAUGGCGCGUUCGGGAUGAGGUGCAAACUCUACUUCAAGUGGCGGCAGCUCAGCAAGCCGAGAGCUCGACCUCUCGACGUCGAGGAGCAGCCUCAGAGAAACAUGUUGAGCUGGUCCGAAACAAAAAGGAAGUGUCAGUCCAUCAGCAACCACCCCCUCGAGGAAGGAAAACGGCGUCUGUCCAACACCACCUCGUCGAUAAUCAACGGCGACACGACGCACGACACGACAUCAACGAGUAUCGUCGCCGUCGACACGGGGAUGCAGAGGAGCGUGGCUACAGUGCCCACCGCGGCGAACGAUACAACAGCGACGAGGACCGGAUGGCCCCAGAACCACCAGGCCCUCGCGUGUUCAGCAGAGCGAUCUGCAGCACGCCGCUGCCCAGCCCGUUCCGACCCCCGACCAGAAUCGCUAAAUACAACGGCGACACCAAGCCAGAACUGUGGCUGGCAGACUUCCGGCUAGCAUGUCAGUUGGGAGGCGCUCGAGGAGACGAUCGAGCCAUCAUCCAUCAGUUACCACUUUUUCUCUCCGACACCGCCCGCAGAUGGCUCGAGGAACCCGCAGAUGGCUCGAGGAACUCCCUGCCAACCAGAUCCAUGACUAGACUGAUUUGGUCAGGGUGUUCGAGGGCAACUUCAAAGGGACGUAUAUAUGACCCGGUAACUCAUGGGACCUUAGCAAGUGCAAGUAGAAAUCUGGAGAGACUCCCCGAGAGCACCACCUACAGAGACCUAGUGCGAGAGUUGGGUCGAAAUCACCCUCAGACCGUCGAUGAGCUAAUGGACGUGGUGGCAAACUAUGCUGCGGGAGAGGAAGCAGUAGGUGCUUUCUUCAGCCAUGAAGGAAGCAAAGGCAAGGCACCAGCGGAUGAUGAUGGGGGCCCCAGUCGAGGGCCUAAAAAAGCAAGAAGAAGAAGAAAGCGUGACCGUUCAAAUGGGAGACACUCGACGACGAUUUGGUCACCGCCGUGGAGCGUAAAAAGCCUCGAGGGCCCCCAGAGGGAGCCAUCUUCGACAAGUUGCUAAAGGAACCCUGCCCUUAUCACAAGAGUGUAGCAAACCACAAGCUUGAAGACUGUUGCACGCUGAAAAAAUACUUCGAUGGCCUGGGGCUUAAGAAGGACGACCAAAGGAAAGGCAAGAGCGACGACAAGGGGGAAAACAAAGAAGACGAGGGUUUCCUAACCGUCCACGACUGCUACAUGAUCUACGGUGUCCUCUCGACACAGCUAACUGCAAGGCAGCACAAGAGGGAACGCCGUGAGGUCUUUGCGGCAAUGAUGGCGGUGCCCCAGUACCUCAACUGGUCGAGCACCCCCAUCACCUUCAAUCGUGAUGACCAUCCAGACAGGGUGGUCGCUCCCGGCGUCUACCCGCCCGUCGUCGACCCCAUCAUCGUCAACACAAGACUCUCUAAGGUACUGAUGGAUGGUGGCAGCAGCCUAAACAUCAUUUACCUCGAGACCCUUGACCUCCUCGGCAUCGAAAGAGUGCAGCUCCAACCAAGCGUGGGCGGCUUCCAUGGUGUCGUACCAGGGAAAAAAGCAUUGUUGGUAGGACGAAUCGACCUACCGUUCUGUUUCGGCAUGGCGACCAACUUCAGGAAGGAGGUUCUCACCUUUGAAGUGGUGGGAUUUCGCGGCACAUACCACUCAAUCAUCGGACGUCCGGGCUACGCCAAGUUCAUGGCUAUCCCCAAUUACACCUACCUGAAGCUCAAGAUGCCCGGGCCAAAGGGGGUCAUCACCGUCAGCUCCUCCUAGAAAAGGAAACAAAGGAAUUUGGAUCAUAAAAAUAAGCAAAUAUUCACAAAUCUUAAAGACCACUCAAGCCACAGUGUUUACUUAAGAUAGGUAAUAACUACUUUACAAUGGGUCUUAACACCCACAAUAGGCUCGUACGGCCUCAGUCCGCGUCUCGGCCCUCGCCACCAUCGUCUGUGCCUCGGCUAGUCUCGGGAGGAAGUACCUCCGGCACGAACAGCUUCGCCAGCCUUUCGCCAGGGACCUCUGCGUCGUCGAUCAAGGCGUGGAGCCUCGCCUCAUUCUCAGCAUCGGUCUUGGAAAUAUCAGUGACGAAGCCGUGGGACACCACCUCCAUAUCGUAGGAGAAGCCUGAGCAGACAACCGCCAUCGCUCGCUUCACCCCGAUAUGAAGGACGUCCCGCACCCGAUCCCUCAGCAUGGCACCUAAGUAGCACAGCUGGUCGACCAGCGCAUCGCCUCGGGCCACCUCCCUCGUCUCAUCCAUAGGCUUGAGCUCCCAGGAGGCCGAAAGGUCGCUUAUCACAGUCCUUAGUCGAUCGUUCAAAGCAACCUCCCCCUCGAGCUGAGCCCGAGUAGAACGGGCGUCUGCCUGGGCAGCCAGGAGAUCAUCCUUAAGCCCUACAAAGACCGACACAGGGGAGUUAGGCAGCACAAAAAAUACCUUGCAAAAGGAAACACGAAAGUGUAAAGAAACCUACCAAGAAUCCUCUCUUCCAGAGCCGUAUUCUCACCAAGUAAAUCGGUGUUGGCCCUCUCGAUCCCCCUGUAGGAGCGGGCCAGGUCGGUGUUGGUGGCCCGUAAGUCUUCGAUCAUCUUACCCGCCUGUGAGAUAGCUCCCUCUUUCUCUAACAGUGCUCUCCUCAGACAAUCGACGUCGUUAGAGAGCCCGCGAGAGCGAGCUCGCUCCGCCUCGAGAUCCUCAUGGGCCUUCUUCCCGGCCUCCUCUACGGCGCUUCGAGCGAUUUCGUUCUUCACGCACUCUUCCUUUACCUCUCGAUAGGCCUCCCUGGCGGAGGCAAGGUCCGCCUUAGCAAGGCUCUUCUCUUUGUCGAGCUCGGCGGCCGCAUCCUUGUAAAACGCAGCCUCUUCCCGGGCCUUGGACGCAGUUUCCUCGGCCGAUACGGUCCGCUCCCUCAGUUGCACGGCUUCUUUUAUCGCCUUCUCUGAGGCCUCCUGAGCCUCGGCCAAGGCAGCCUCCCUCUCCUUCUUCUCCUCUGCAGCCGCCAGGAGAUCCUUGUAUGCCUGGACGAGCUUCUCCUAUGACUUGAGGAGCUGAUCCUUAAGAAGAAGGAGUUGUUCCCAACAUCCUCUCGUCGCAUGGAUAAAACCCGACUUUAGGCGGGAGGUCUCCUUCAGAUCCUACGGCAAGUAGCCGAUCGAUGAGAAUACGAGACCAAACACCCAGAUAGCUAAGGGCCGAAAAUACUUAGAAAGAAAGCUCAACCAAGCCCGUUGUCGACAAUGUCCGACAUUAGGCCCACCACAUGCUUCAUCCAAAGCUGGAGCUCCUCGAGAUGCUCCCACUUCUCGGCUUCCUUCCGGUCAUCCAUAAAGAUGUUGGGCUCCGAUGGAUCGGUGGAGGCUCGAAGACGGAUCCGAACGGGGCCCCAGUUCUCCAUCUCCUCCUCCGUGCGUGCCUUGACGCCCCAGAUAAGCUCCUAAAUGGUCUCGAGCGAGCCUCCGUGGUGCAAAAAUAUGUCGAUGAGAGAGGGAAACCACCCGUCGUCGUCCACCGACCCCCAGGUCCCGGCCUCAUUGGCGUCGCCACCGCCGGAAGUGCCGGCGUCGUCCCCCUCCUCGGCGCUGGGUUCCUCCCACGGCCGCUGAUCUCGAAGGAACCCCGGGGCGAUCCCAUCCAUACCAUAGAGGGAGCCUUUGAUCUCGGAUUGAGGGUCCAACGGCGUGCGCAUCGCACACGCAAUAGCCACGACGCCGUCCUCCCACCCAGGUUCGGCCGGGAUGGAGGCUGGCCCCCCUGGAUGGAGCCACGCAGGGGUCGGCAGACCUUAGAACGGCAGUCCCUCCUCUCUAGUCUCAGGCCUUUGCGGCGAUGGCAGUACUGGCUGAGGCGGGCUUCGUGGUGGCUGUUCGAGCAGCUCUUCCAGCUACUGUUGAUGCAAAAGUGGAUCUGCAAACACAAAGGGCUAAUGCCCGAUUCAAACGUUAAGGCGUGCCAGCCGAUUUGACCUUACUAUCGGGAAAGGUGAUAACUCGAAUACUUUGGUCCCGACAACAGCGAUGCGACCGAAUGCCACGGCCAAGAGGUAUUCUCGCGGAACUCGAGAAUACGCCGAGCUUAAGUCAACGAACUCCUAAGAACUCGUAAUGAAAAAGGAAAAUAUGACAAAGUCGUCGAAAAAGUACAUGCUGGAAUAUGAGUAAAAACUUGUGUUUGAUUGAUUAAUUGAUCUAUUAUUACUAGGCCCCCGGGUCUACAUUUAUACCCUGCUCAAAGAGCCACAAUCAGACACGACUAGGAUUUGAAUUCCAAAUUAAACAGAAUCCGUAUACAAAACGAUCUAAAUAACUAAGGAAAACAUAAAACUAUCCUCCUGUGACAAACUGGGACACCACCAUAGACCAAUCGGCAACUUUCAGGUUCUCCUUCCGAAUCAUCGGCAGACUCCUCAUCGUAGCCAUCAGCAAAGGUUAAUGCUGACCAUCGGCAUAAACACGUCACCACCCAUGGACUUAGUCACAUUCAGCUGUCCCUUCAUCGGUAACCACCCUCAUCGGCAACUCUCCUGCAGACCAGUUACUGUUGCCCUAUUUUGUCGAUCUACACUCUACCGAUCCUGGGUGCGUGUCCAAAAACGGUGUCAAAACAUGCCCCCCAAAUUCAGAGUAUGAAAUCAUUAAUGCUCCAAAAUUCUCUGCAGUAAUGAUGCCUUUCCACAAUUAAUUCUCCCAAUUUGGCAACCGACAGCUUAAAUCUGAACAACCUUGGCCCGAUUCUUCCGCAGAUUCCUCGAAUUCCUCAACCUCCCAAACAGACAUCUCCACUUUAUUCGUCCAUCGACAAUAUUAUCGUUAGAAGGAACUGCCGAUGGACCGACCAAGAGAUCUUGCACAGUGAAAUAUCUCCAAAAUCAUGACCGCUUGCUGUCAAUCGCCUGCACAACCCCUUGAUUACUGUGCGAACAGUUACCAUAUCUACCUAAGCACCCUCGGGUUUCGCGGAUGCGGCAAAGAGAUAAGUCAGAUCUGCCUUUGCCCGUUUUGUCCUAUAAAUACCUCCUUCUCGGGUACUCCUUCUUCAUCUGUCAUUCUACAGCCCCAAAAUCCACUUCCUUGGCGGCGGCACUUUUCGAGGACUCCAAGAACUCUAGCAAGAACUUCUUCCAACAAUCCUCGAGUCUUCGAUCUUCUCUCCUGCGAGGAAAUGGCCAUCAACUUCGUCGUGCCUGAGGUCAGUCCUACUUCUCUCCUGUUUUUAUUGCACCCCUGUUCAUCCGCAGUUCAUCUUACUGAAUAUUUUUUCUUUCUUUUUUAUCUUUUGCUCUUCUUUUUACACCCAAAAACUUCUAGGAUCUGUCCAAUAGAAUCGCCAUCCCCACCGAUCAACCACACCUCCAAUGUCUCGGUCCGCUAGGGAACCCAGAUCCUACCGAUCUGAUCAAUGCAGAAACAAACAGAAUCCCCUUUAGAGCUGAGAAUUUUUCUAUAGAUCUGUGGAAAGAUGCCUUCCACUCUUGGCCCAGUCCUACCAAGGGAUGGAAGGAUUGGUUUUUGAGAGUCAGCCACUCGAAUGAAGUUCAAUGGGGUGAGUGAAAACUGGAUCAAUGCAUUAGACUGUCUCUUGCCGAUAUGCAUAGGAAUGAAUCACUGCUGAUUGCUGCAUCAUAUUUCUGGUCAGACACACUCAAUGCUUUUGUUUUCGGUCAUGGCCCUGCUUCUCCCACUCUUGCCAAUGUGCUCAUGCUCACCGGCUUAGAUGUAUCCACUGCCGAUAAUAGCCACAUAUUUGACACCGCACCUAGUGCUAAAGUCGAAACUCGCUCUAUCGGCUGUUGGUCUGGGUACAUUCAGAAGUACCGUAGAACAGGGCCCGUCAACAUAAAGGAACAAACCACCUUCCUGAACAUGUGGCUGGACAAAUUCGUAUUCUGUGGUCGAUCGGCAGGACCAACCUCUAUCUACCUAUCGGCAACAGAGAGAUUAGCUAAUGGUGGCCAAUUCCCCCUCAGCCGAUACCUGCUUGGCUCUGCCUAUCAUCUUCUCCACCAAGUAGCCAAGAAACUUCUACUCGGUGAACCCAUCGGCAACUUAGGGGGCCCUUGGUGGUUCAUCAACAUGUGGCUUAGCCUCCAUAUGCAUAAGCGACUGGAAUUCGACCUCUUUGCACAGCGUUUCCCUAGGGUUAUAGCAGAGGAUCAUGAGUUAGAUGAAGAAGAAUCGGCAACCCGUCCUCCCUUAAACUAUGGCGAAGCCGUCAUAGCUUUGCCUGGUACUGGAGGCAAUAGAGAUCAAGUCAGCCGAUUCUUUCAGACUUUUUAUGAGGGCCUGACCAAAGAACAGCGAGCAUGGAUGCCCUAUGAAGAUCCAGAUACAAGAUUCCCUCUGACCUUUCACCCCUUCGAUGAUGCUCUCAAUAAAGAUCAUGAUGUGAUGAUGGCACUUGUCACUCCAAGAGCUAUACCAAUAAACUUCUUUGGCAGUGGGAAAGCCUCCAACCAGACCUAUGAAUUUUACAACCCAUCGGCACUAGCUCGCCAGCUAGCUUUCGGUCAGCUGCCGAUCGCACUCUGUUAUGCCGAUGUAAUAAAACCCAGGGAAACCAUCACUAGUCUUCUUGAGUGGACCAGAAUAGCUCAACUGCCACCAAAUGCCGACAUAGAUGCCGAUCUAUCAGAUUGGAUCCCGGCCCUCUUCAUUACUUAGGCAUACAAACAAUGGUGGGAAGAAUGGAAAGAGCACCUGUUCUGCAGAUCGGCUCUUACAUACCGUGGCAUGAUCGACCCUCAAUACAAAGUUCCUGACAACACUGUAAGUAUUUUAAACCGAUGUUUCAAUCCUUUCAUUUUUACUUUCAUCGGUAACUCAUUUUCUGGGUUAUAUUGCAGGUCGACAACACACCCCCAUCGGUCAGCAGGAGUGGCAAGCCGAUUGAGCUCUUCCCAUCGGGUCCGAUUUCUUCAAUCGGCAACAACUCCCCAUCCUUGGCCGCUAUAAUGCAUCGGGGUGUACGUCUCAAGAAAGUCACCACCAAGCGGACAAAGGUAUUUCCAUUGGUAGUUGCUUCUACCCUAGCACAAGCUUUCAAGGUAAAUUUUUUUAAUUCUUCCACCCAUACCGAUUCUGUUUUUACACUGUUACACUUGCACUCACGAAUUUUUAUUGUUGUAUCAGCAAACCAGCACAUCGGUAAAGACCAGAGGUAUGACUGCCGAUGCCCCCCAGUCCAGCCAACCAAAGAGGAAAAGCUCCAAGAGUACCAGAACCCAGGCGAAGCGCCAGAGAAUAGCAACACCUUCUCCUCCCCCAGUGUCUCCAAUUCCAGUGGAAUCUUCUCCUUCCUCUCCUGAAGUCCAGAUAUAACAAGCACCAUCUCAUCCUCAGCCACAAGAAGAACCUCACGCAGAAGAACCCGAGCCAGAGGAACCUCAGCCAGAAGAUACAUCGGCUGACGUGCACGAGCAAAUUGCCGAUCCAGCAAGUUCAAUCACAGCAUCGGUAGUUUCCUCAAUCCAAACAAGUACAGCUCCCACUCAAGGUACCGUACUUUCUAUGAAAUCAUUGCCGAUGAACCUACUUUUCCAUCUUAUAAUUAUCUCUAUCACACUUUCAGCUGACAUAAUCUCAUCGGCAAUUUCAGCCGAUCAACCCGUAGUUCCAUCGGCAUCAUCCAGUCAGAGGCGAGAGAUAGCUCUGAAACAAGUAAGUUACCUGAUCUCUACCUGUACUGUUUACCAAUGCCUGAUCAUAGAAUAACUUAUUUUAUUUUCUUUUUUAGGAACAAGACUCUCCUGAUAGCUUGCUCUCCUUUGCCAUCGACAUCUCUGAAGAUGAAGGCGAGGAGGCAAGUUCCUCUCGAGCAGUUAGAAUCACAUCGGCAGAAAUCAGGGUGAAGUUAGAAGAAUUAUCAGCCCUCCUUCAUCAAGACACGGCCCAAUUGGUUGAUGACUCUGAUCCAGCCAAGGCUUUGUUCAAGACCCUCGGAGGCCAAAUUCCUACCUAUGCCGAGGAGAUCCUUUUCAAAGCUGCUCACUUAGAAAGUCGGCAGCUUCAAUAUCAAAGAGCCGCUCGGCGCCUAGCCGAUAGAGCUAAUCACGCCCAGCUCUCAGAAGAGAUGAUAAAAGUGAAUCUCCUCACCGAUGAAAAGCACAAGAGUAUCGGCAUCUUGAAAUCCUCAGGAGAUGCGCUGAAGCAUAAGAUCUCUGAUCUAUCGGCAAAGAGAGAAGCCCUGUUGGCAGAACUCAAGCAGGUAGAAGAAGCUUUGUCCCAAGCUGAACAAGAAGAAAGCCAGCUGCCUGAGGCGAUCAAACUUCUCGAACAAGAGCGAAAUGUCGAAGCUCACAAAGCACUGCAGAUGAAGAAGAACCUGAAGCCAGUGGAGGGCUCUGCCGAUGAUGACAUGAAAGAGAUAGAAGAAGCCAACCAGAUCCGUCUGCGCGCCAUAUCGACGAUCCAGGCUUUGUUAAACAUGUGAAUUCUCCAUCAGCGGCAUAUUUGCUCUUUUCUUUUAAACACUUCUGAUAUUUUGGUCUAGCUGAUAGGACUGUUAUCGGCACCUUUUAAAACAUUAAGUCCAGCCUCAGACACAGUUUAAUCCAGCCGAUAGGAAUGUUAUCGGCACUUAAACUUUUAUGCAUCGACCCAUAUGCUGGGGUAAUAUUUCUUUAGAUAUUUGCCGUUUAAUGCUCUGGGAAAUUCAACUCCUUCGAGAGUUUCUAAGAUAUAGGCAUUGCCAGGAGCAGAUCGAUUUAUCCGAUAGGGACCCUCCCAAUUGGGAGACCACUUCCCAAAUUUUGAACUUUCAGUCCCAAUCGGUAAGACUAGCUUCCACACUAAUUCUCCGUCGGCAAACUCUUUAGCCUUCACCUUCUUAUCAUACCAUCUGGCAACUCUCUUCUUAUUCUCUUCUAUACUCAUCAAAGCCCUUAGCCGAUGCCCGGCUAGAUCAUCGAAGUAGCAUAAUCAUCGGUAGCCAAUUGAUUUUGAAAAGAUAGUCGCCUAGACCCAGUCUUAAUUUCCCAAUGUAACACUGCAUCAUGCCCAUACACCAACUGAUAAGGUGAAACCUUGGUCGAUCCAUGACAAGCCAUCUGAUACGACCACAAUGCUUCAUUUAACAACGUGUGCCACCUCCUAGGAUUUUCUUCAAUCUUCUGCUUAAUAAGCUUGAUAAUUCCUUUGUUAGAUGCCUCGGCCUGCCCAUUAGCAUGAACAUAAUAAGGAGAAGAGUUUAAUACUUUAAUUCCCAUACUGAUUGCAAACUCAUCAAACUCCCCUGAUGUGAACAUAGUACCCUGAUCGGUAUUAAUUGUUUGAGGAAUCCCAAAUCGGUAAAUAAUAUGCUCUUUCACGAAAUCAAUCAUAUUGGCUGAUGUAACUUCCUUCAAAGGAAUAGCUUCAACCCACUUAGUGAAAUAAUCAGUGGCAACCAAGAUGAAUUUGUGUCCUUUGCUUGAUGGCGGGUAAAUUUGGCCGAUUAGAUCAAUAGCCCAUCCCCGAAACGGCCAAGGUUUAAUAAUGAGAUUCAUGGCUGAUGCGAGUGCCCUUUGAACAUUGCCAAACUUCUGACAUCCUUGACACCCUUUGAAAUACUCAAAACAAUCUUCAAGUAUAGUUGGCCAAUAAUACCCAUUUCUUCUGAUCAUUCACUUCAUCUUAAAUGCCGACUGAUGUGCUCCACACACUCCUUCAUGGAUUUCCCCCAUUAAACUCCUAGCCUCAUCAUCACCUAAGCAUUUGAGAAGAAUUCCAUCAAUUAUUCGAUAAUAUAAUUCAUCUUCGAGGAGCACAUACUUGGUAGCCUGAAACCGAACACGUCUUUCAACUUUCUUGGAUGGAUCUUUUAAAUAAUCAAUGAUUUCUUUUCUCCAAUCGUCGGCACCGAUUGCCGAUAUUGCGUUUAACAUGGGCUGAUAUCCCGAGGCAUGCUGAACCAACCGAUUGGCCUCUUCAUUACGCAAUCGAGGAACAUGUUCUAACCGGAAAUAUUUGAAUUCCUUUAAUAAUUGCAUGCUCCUUUCAUGAUAAGUUAUCAGGACUUCGCUUCGGCAUUCAUAGCUUCCAGCCAAUUGAUUUAUAACCAGCAUAGAAUCCCCGAAGAUUUCAACAGCAUCAUCAUGAACUUCCCUUAGUAAUUCCAACCCCUUUAUCAAAGCUUGAUACUCAGCCUGAUUAUUUGUUGAUGUGGCCACAAUCGGCAAGGAAAACUCAUACUUCUUUCCCCGAGGGGAAAUUAGCACUAUGCCGAUUCCUGCCCCCCGGUCGCAUGUGGAUCCAUCAAAGAAGACCGUCCAAGGUACAAUUUCCAAAGUCUCCACUGCCCCACAAUGUUGAGUCACAAAAUCGGCCAUAAUUUGCCCUUUAACCGCCUUAGCCGAUUCGUAACGUAGAUCGAAUUCCGACAGUGCCAAAAUCCACUUACCAAUUCUACCACUCAUGAUCGGCAUAGAUAGCAUGUAUCGGACUACGUCAUCUUUGCAAAUAACAGUGCAUUCGGCCGACAGCAAAUAAUGUCUUAACUUAAUGCAGGAGAAAUAAAGAGACAAACAUAACUUUUCAACGGCCGAAUACCUGGUCUCAGCAUCAACCAAACUCCUGCUUAAAUAGUAAAUCACACGUUCCUUCCCUUCAAAUUCCUGAAUUAAAGCCGAACCGAUGACCAUCCCAACGGUAGACAAAUACAACCUGAAGGGCUUCCCUUGCUGAGGUGGAAUCAGAACGGGAGGAUUCACCAAAUAAUUCUUGAUUUCAUCUAAGGCCGACUCCUGCUCCUCCCCCCAGAUAAACUCUUGAUCAGCCUUCAACUUAAGUAAAGGACUGAAAGCACGAAUUUUACUAGACAAAUUAGAUAUAAACCUCCUGAUAAAGUUUACCUUGCCGAUCAAGGAUUGGAGCUCAGUCUUGUUAGUAGGAGCAACUAUUUUGUUAAUAGCAUCAAUGGAUCUCCGACUAAUUUCAAUCCCUCUUUGAUGCACCAUGAAACCAAGAAAUUGUCCUACCGAUACCCCAAAUGCACAUUUAUUGGGAUUCAUCUUCAAACCAUGCUUCCUUGUGCAUUCUAACACCUUUCGCAAAUCGGCAAGAUGUUUUGUGAAGUCUCCAGACUUAACCACCACAUCAUCAAUAUAAAUCUCCACCAGCUUGCCGAUGAACUCAUGAAAUAUAAAAUUCAUAGCCCUCUGAUAAGUAGCACCAGCAUUUUUCAAGCCAAAGGUCAUGACUAUCCAUUCAAACAACCCAACAUGACCAGGACAUCUAAAUGCAGUCUUUGGAAUAUCCUCUUCAGCCAUGAAUAUCUGAUUAUAUCCUGCAUUACCAUCCAUAAAGCUGAUGAUCCGAUGUCCAGCUGCAGCAUCAACUAGUAGAUCGGCAACUGGCAUUGGGUAGCCAUCCAUCGGCGUAGCUUUAUUAAUAUUUCUGAAAUCAAUGCAAACCCGAAGCUUCCCAUUUUUCUUGUAAACCGGAACAACAUUGGAAAUCCACUCGGCAUACUGACACUGCCGAAUAAAUUUAGCUUCAAUAAGUUUGGUUAUUUCGGCCUUAAUAUCAGGAAGAAUAUUAGGAUUACAUCAGCGAGCUGGCUGUUGAUGUGGCCGAAAUCCAGACUUGAUAGGCAGCCGAUGUUCAACAAUCGAUCGGUCCAAACCAGGCAUCUCAGUAUAAUCCCAAGCAAAGCAAUCUUUAUAUUCUAUUAACAAAUCAGUUAAUUGCUGCUUACACUCAGAAUUUAACUUAGCACUAAUAAAAGUAGGUCUAGGCUUAUCACCACUACCUAUAUCUACUUCUACCAAAUCAUCGGCCGAUGUGAAUCCCUGGCCCAAUUUUCCAUCAUCGGCGAACCUAUCCAUUAAAAACUUUCAUCAGAAUCGACUGCUUGGAUCGGUGGUAUUUCAUAAUCGGCAACUUUGAGAAAAUCCUUCUCCCAAAUUUCUCCCGAGAUACACCUAGUCCUCUCAUAGGUAUCUGCUUCUGCCGAUGCAAUGACGUAAGAAGAAUCCCCCGGGACAAUUUCAAUCUUGUCGCCUACCUAUUUGACCAAGCACUGGUGCAUUGUAGACGGGAUGCAACAAUUGGCAUGAAUCCAGUCUCUCCCCAGCAGCAAAUUAUAAGCACCUUUUCCACUGAUCAUGAAGAAAGUUGUCGGCAAGGUUUUACUGUCGAUGGUCAACUCGACGCAUAUUGCCCCCUUAACCGGAGACACGUUCCCCUCGAAGUCCUUCAACAUCAUAUCGGUCUUGGUCAAAUCUUGAUCCCCUUUUCCAAGCUUCCGAUAUACUGCAUACGGCAUGAUGUUGAUGGCGGCUCCACCAUCAAUUAAUAUUUUGGUCAUUGGCUGACCAUCAACCCUUCCUUUGACAAACAAGGCUUUAAGAUGCUGCCUUUCAUUGUCGGCAGGCUUUUCAAAGAUAGCCGUCAUCGGAUCCAGAGCCAUCUGAGCUAUCUGGUCGGAAAACUCCAACCCCUCAUCAUCGCUGGACGGCGCAAGGAAUUCCAUCGGCAACAUAAAUACCAUGUUGACAUCUGCCGAUGGCACUUUCCCCUUAGGAUCUGAUCGUUGCUGAUCCCCAGAUUGGCCAGAGUUCUCGCCCUUGCUUAGCUCUUCUUGUCUUUUGCGCUGCAGCCUUCUUUUCUGUGUUUUAGUCAACCCCUCAGGACACCAUGGAGGAAGUGGAGACUGCCUUGCCGAUGAACGACGAUAUUCCCUUGGUUCCAUCCGAUGAGUAUUAGCAUCCUUGCAAAAUAUGAACUCAAUGAGAACUCGGUCAUUAGCCAUCUCUUCAAGUUCUUCCUGGUUCCUCGGAAAAUAUUCAACACGAUCACCAAGCCUAUCAUGUACAGUGAGCCUGCCCCCCAGUCGAUCAUGAACUGACGCUCUCCCCCUGAUCGGCCCAUUAAACCGCCGAUCGUGAAAGCAUCGAUCGGACCUAUCAUAUCGAUCAUAACCAUUGCACUCAGGGCAAUCUCUAACAGUAGGUAACUUGAUGUUCUGCUCCCAGCAAUGGAUAAAGAAUGGGCAGUUCCAGUGAUCCUUGUGCCGAUUCCACUCCUGUCGGUGUCUUUCUUCUUCCCGAUGAUAGUCUUCUUGCUGGCGUCGAUACCGAUCCUCACGUUGCUGCCAGGUUUCCCGAGGCCUUCUAUGAGUCAUCACAAUACCAGAUCGAGGAGCCCUUCCUGAGUUAGUUCCCUCCUGGAUCAAGCCUUUUCCUUUUGCAUCGGCAGUGGUGAUCUGAUGCUGUGGAUGUACCGACGCACUUCUUUCAGCUGCUUCCGAUGUUAAGACUUUGGCCUUUCCCUUAGCGUCCAACAUAUUUGUUGGGAAAGGAUGUUGAUCAAUCUUCAUCGGCUUCUAAGUUUUGGAGCUGUCAAAUUUGAUCCUUCUAGAUUCUAUAGCCGAUUGUAGCUAUUGUCUAAAAACUUUGCACUCAUUGGUGCUGUGAGAGGUUGCAUUAUGCCACUUGCUGUAUUUCAUCUUCUUUAACUCUUCAGCCAAUGGAAUCACAUGAUUAGGCGACAACUUAAUCUGGCCUUCCUGAAGCAGAAAGUCAAAUAUCCUAUCGGCCUUGGUAAUAUCAAAUGCAAACUUCUCUGGUUCCUUAUGCCCGAAAGGGCAAGACAUCGGCUUCUUAUUCUUUACCCAUUCUGCCAAGCCGAUGACUGGUUCCUCGUUAGAAUCUGAGCUUGCUACCUCAUCAACGAAUGACACCAUCUUGUUCCAAGCCCUCUUAGGUUCAAAAGGCUUAACAUCCUGGUCGGAAAUCCUCUGGACCAUGUGACUCAGGCUCUCGAAUUCUUGAGAAGCAUAUUUAUCCCUGAUAUGUGGCAGUAAACCCUGGAAAGCCAAAUCGGCUAGCUGCCGAUCAUCUAGAACCAGACUAUAGCAUUUGUUCUUAACUUCCCGCAAUCUCUGCACGAAACCUUCAACCGAUUCAUCAUUACGCUGUUUCAAUCUGACCAAAUCGGUAAUUUUCUUCUCAUGAACUCCAGAAAAGAAGUAUUUGUGAAACUGCUUCUCCAGAUCGGCCCAAGUAAUCACUGAAUUAGGAGGCAAUGAUAUAAACCAAGUGAAAGCCGAUCCAGACAAUGAUGACGAAAACAGUCGAACCCUCAACUCAUCCCUGUUAGCAGCUUCUCCACAUUGGAUGAUAAACCUGUUGACAUGCUCCAUGGUUGACGUAUCAUCCUGUCCAGAAAAUUUAGUGAAAUCCGGCACCUUGUACCGAUUUGGAAGUGGAAUCAAAUCGUAUGCAAAAGGAUACGGUGUCCGAUAAGAGUAAGUGUUGACUUUGGGUUUUAUCCCAAAUUGGUCUCUCAUUACUUCGGCAAUCUUAUCGGCCCAAUAAGCAUCAGCAUCUUGCCGAUGAGGCGGUUGCGGAUCUGGCACCUGUUGAUACACAUCCACGUGUCCAUGCGGUACAUGAUCUGCAUGGAACAUUGGAUUAAUCAUUUGACCACCGAUCUGCUGACCACCAAUUUGUUGACCCCUAAUCUGCUGACCACCAAUUUGUUGAGCACCAAUCUGUUUUCCAAGAUUCAUCGGCUGGUUGACCAUCCCUUGAUUAUGGAACCUAGGUUGGAUCUGGCCCUGUUGAAAUCCUGUAGCCUGAUGAUUCUAUUGGGGCAUUCAUCGGCAUUGGCAUUCAUCGGCAUAGGUCCUACCGAUGACUAGUAAUUGGGCAUCAUCAUUGAAUUGACAUACCCUGGCUGAGUCAUAAACCUCUGUUGCGUCAGCAUUGAAUCUGCCGAUGCAUUAGGCAUCUGGAACGUUGGAGCUUGAGAAUUCCCAGUGUAAGGUUUGGCAGUAGUAGUUGUAGUAUACUGGGGACUCUGAUUCAUCGGCACAUUUGGAGGUGCCAAUGCCAUAGGAGCGUUGCCCCUCAUAUCAGCCGUUUGAGACAUACUAGGUGUCUUCAACAUGAACUCUGGGGGCAUACCAAAGCCCCACCAGUUAGGAGGAACAGAUCCCGACAUUGCUGAUGCCAAUAGGUCUGUAGUCAGCUUGAUCGACUCAUCUGAUGUUGAUGGAUUGGCCGGCAUUGGCGUGGAUUGCGCGCUAGUGACUCCUAACGUACUUGGAGGAACAACUGUUUAUGUGCCUGCAGCGGCUGUUGUAGCCGAUGGGGCUAUGACAACUGGUGAUCCUGGCUGAUGAUGAGAAGGACCAACAUAAUUUGGCGGUAAUUGCCCUUCCUUGAAAGUCCUAGCCACGACAUUGAAAACCGUAUUGGACAGCACACCAGCUUGAUUGAUCAUGGCGCGGUUAAUAGCACUAUCAACCAUGUCUUGAAGUUUACCAGGAUUGGCUUCCAAAGUAACCUGCCGAGGCAUCAACAUUGCUUCCUUCUGGAUCACCUCGCCACUCCUGUUUACGCUGAAGGAUUUCAAACAUUGUUGCUUGUAAUCCUCCAUAGCCUUUGCAAGAGCUUGCUUCUGCUCAUCUCUGAGAUUGGCUUCUGUCACAGGGAUGACAUUCUCCAAAUUGAAAUCGCUAGUCGCCAUGUCGAUCUCGGUCUUGAAUCUUGUCUCACUAGGCGUGCCAAAAGUUGUGUUGAUGCAAAAGUGGAUCUGCAAACACAAAGGGCUAAUACCCGAUUCAAACGUUAAGGCGUGCCAGCCGAUUUGACCUUACUAUCGGCAAAGGUGAUAACUCGAAUACUUUGGUCCCGACAACAGUGAUGCGCCCGGAUGCCACAGCCAAGAGGUAUUCACACGGAACUCGAGAAUACACUGAGCUUAAGUCGACGAACUCCUAAGAACUCAUAAUGAAAAAGGAAAAUAUGACGAAGUCGUCGAAAAAGUAGAUGCUGGAAUAUGAGUAAAAACUUGUGUUUGAUUGAUUGAUUGAUCUAUUAUUACAAGGCCCCCGGGUCUACAUUUAUACCCUACUCAAAGAGCCACAAUCAGACACGACUAGGAUUCGAAUUCCAAAUUAAACAGAAUCCGUAUACAAAACGAUCUAAAUAACUAAGGAAAACAUAAAACUAUCCUCCCGUGACAAACUGAGACACCACCAUAGACCAAUCGGCAACCUUCAGGUUCCCCUUCGGAAUCAUCGGCAGACUCCUCAUCGUAGCCAUCAGCAAAGGUUAAUGCUGACCAUCGGCAUAAACACGUCACCACCCAUGGACUUAGUCACAUUCAGCUGUCCCUUCAUCGGCAACCACCCUCAUCGGCAACUCUCCUGCAGACCAGUUACUGUUGCCCUAUUUUGCCGAUCUACACUCUACCGAUCCUGGGUACGUGUCCAAAAAUGGUGUCAACAGCUACUAACUCCACUAUUGCUGCUGCCUCAGAAGCUCUAGCAGCUCUUGCUGUCGGUGUUGCUCUAAUAGCUCCUCGAGCUGCUCUCCCUGUUGCCGCCACCUCUCUUCUUCCACUUCUUCUUCCCCACCCUUGCACUCUUCUUCUUUCUUCCUCCUCUCCUCGACGGAGUGAAGCCCGAUGGGCCAAGGCGUCCGUUUCGCUAUAGAAGAGGCCUCGACCUCUUUGUCCAUGGUGCGAGCAUCCUUCGAGAGCCAAUCGCCGCCGGAUCCAUCGCUGAUGGUGAUGGGAUCCCCCACGCCCCCAGAUCGGGGAGGCUCGGGGGCUCCCUCCUGCUCUUGAAGACGCCGUCUUGACCCGCCUUGGCGACGGCAGGGCGGUGUCAGAAACAAAACCCCCCUCCGACGGACAAGGCAGGGUUUUCUCAACACCCGUUGAUGGUCGAGGAUCGGAGGAACCUAUGUGCGCCCAAAGACGAUACGUCAAUCGCAAAGAAGCUCGAUGCAAGAAUCACCCAGCUCCAAUACUACUAAAAGGAGAAUAAAUCACUCACCCGAGCCUUUGGGAACCGCCCCCACCAUUAGCUUCUUGGCCAUCAAGGGUUGGGCCUGUUCUAGCUGCCGCUUCAACCUAAGGAAAUGGGAAUAACAUAAGAAAAGCCGUAACCCGAGAAUGCGCGAGACAUUAGAAAACAAGAAUCACGACGUAAAAAUAUGACCCCACGGGAAGAACAACCCGCCUGCUAGUACCUCGACCAACUGGCCUCGAGCCGCCCCGCGUCGAGACCCCAGGCCUCUCAUGGGUAGGCGCAGGCCUCGGCUCAGCGUCUCCCGUCUAGCGAACGCCGGGGCUAGAGCUCCCACGACCUACUUCCCCCUGACUUGAGGCCGCCAUGGCGGCGCGGCCACGGGUCAGUGGCCCCAUCGCCAUAGUCUUAACCCGGUGGCCCGCCCCAGACGCAGGAGGAGGUUGGGGCCGAGAAAUGGCCUGACCCUGCACUGGCAUAGGAGGGGUAUCGGCACGAGAACAGCGCGGUGAGGACUCCCUCUUUUGACCGUCGCGGGACCCGCUCAACACCCUCUUAGGGGCUCCCAUCCGCGAGACGUCGACGUCGGCUUGCGGUGGGCCCUCAAGGAUUUUGUCGAGGCAAGCCGCCAUCCCCUCCGAGUCGUCGCUAUCGUCAUCACCCUCGUUGCCGUCGUCUUCAUCAGGAGAUUCCUCCUCGGACUCCCCCUUCUGCCUCGACUUCGCGCAGCGUUUCUCGAGCACUUGUCGCUCGAGGUUCUUUUUCUUCUCCUUCUUCUUUUCUAAGUCCUUUGAGGACUUUUGUUUCUCCGCGGACUCACGUCUCCUAUCGCGAUCGACGUCGUCCUCCUUUACCGGAGGCCUCGAGGACCGAGCGUCGAUCGAGCCCUGUGAGGGCGGAAGUAAGUCCCGGAGAAAGUCAGGAAAAUCAAAAAUCGAGUAACGGCAAAGAAAGGCUUACCAAGUCGAUCGACCCCUCGUCAGGCUUCAUGGGGAAGCCGUUGACGCACCUAGGCUGAAAAUCGCCUGCGACGGCCGCCCUGACUCUCGCCUGCGACGGCCGCCCUGACUCUGGCAGCGACCUCGUCGUUCGCGGGCGCCUCGUUGGACAUCCGGCAUGCCUCGAGGUCGCGAGAUGAAAAGCCAGGACCCAUCUCGUCCAUCCUCAGCGCCCGAGACAUCAACGGAAGUACCCGUCAAUGGUGGACGGCCGAAAGGAUGAGCGCAGCGGUCAGACCUUCCUCACGUAGCUUCUUCAAGGCGUCAAGGAUGAGACGGAGCCACGACUGGAGGGUCUUGAUGACGCCGUAGUUCCAGUGGUCCGGACGCUUCGAGAUCAAGCGCCCGAUGUAGUCGGGGAAGAGGUUGUCGUCGUUUCGCAGAUAGAACCACUGGGAGUCCCACCCGGCAUGGUUCGACGUCAGCCCCACCAGAAUGUACUCUCGAGGCUCCUCCACCUUGCCGGUCUUUUGCACCAGGUUGAGGCAGCAGGCCCGCACCGGUUUCCUCACCCCUGUAGCCCCAUCGGGGGCAUGGAAGAGCUCGCCCCGGUACAGGUGAAGCCACAGAUCCCAGUGCGGCAUCAUCCCCAGAUAGCCUUCACAUACCGCGGCAAAAAUCGCCACGGCGGUGAUGGCGUUCGGCGAGAAAUGCUGGAGCUUCACACCGUAAUGGUGGCAGAGCGCCCGUAUGAAGCAGCUCGGAGGGGAACCGAGGCCGUGGUAGUGAAACUUGGCGAAGGAGACCACGUACCCGUUGGGCGGUCUAGGCUCCCGGUGGUCCACCGCCGGCGGGAUCCACUCCGGCCACGACGAGGAAACAUGGGGGCACAGGAGUCCCUCCUUCUCGAGCUCCAGCAGCCGGCGCUCCGUCAUCGACGAUAGGCACCAGUCAUCAGUGGCGAUAAGUCUCACCGGCAUUUUUUGGGAUGAAGGAAAGUGGCUCCGCUGCUAUGUGCUCGAGGGUGCGCGUGCGCGUGGAGACAGCAAAGGAAGCAAAGGCAAGAAUGAUGGUGGAAGGCAGAAGGAGUAAUGGCUGGGAGACCCAACAAUAUUUAUAGAUGGCCAACCUCCAACAGGCAGAUCCGGCGAAUACGGUAACCUCCGUUGUAAAUGCACCGCCUAACAGUCCUAAUUGCUCUCACUGAUAGGGCGCUACGAAUUCCAUGACCGCACAGUACCGCAAUGGCUCCCACCUAAAAAGGCGCGCCAAACGGGUAGGAAAAUGAACCGCCAUGGCCGUUCCUUCCCCUGCAAGAUAAGGUACGCAUGUGUCACGAUAAAAAUCUUGAGGGAUCGCAGACUGGCCCGCUGAACGGGUUCGACGGUCGACCUCGAGUACCAGAGUCGGGGAUGCCCAGCAAGGGGUCGAAAACGAGGCUGCCUCGAAAACCCGCUGGGGAUGUCCAAGGAAAGGGCAAGAGGGUCGAGAGGAAUCCCCAUGAAGGGAGGCAGUGAGCCGCUGGAGUCUUUCGAACGAGACCAGUAACCCCAACCGCGUUGACCCCGCUUUAUGAGAACACCUCCGGGCUACAGCUGACCCCCUCGAACAGGGCGUAGGUUCUCACUUGGAUUACCCAAUAGACACUCAACCUGGGGUAGGUGACGCUCGCUCCGCCGGGAGUACGUCACGACUUCGAUACAAAACCAGCCAAUUGAGGCUCAAAGCCCCUGUUCCAUGGAGAACGACUUUCAGAGAAGGGGAAGAUCGAGAGCGCUUCCAUUAGAAAGAGCAACAUAACCCUCGAAGGAGUCAAAGACACCUCCAAGGGCUCGGGGGCUACCCCCGCGGGGAUCGCUUGUGCGACCCCAUGGAAACUCAACCGACGAAAGAGCCUCCACUCGAGCGCAAGCGCUCGAGUAGAGAUUCGGGGAAUACUGUCAAGGGUGUCAAUAAGGGGUACCCCAACCGAUGUUCAUAAGGAGAGGAUCCGUACGCAAAUCAAGACCUUUGACUCGACGCCCCCGCUCGCACGCGCGACUACCAAAACACGAUGCCAACCAUAGCCUUGAACACGGAAAAAGGGUCACGCGAAUCGGCAGAGGCUCGACCGAACAAUGACCAUCGAAUACGGAACAGGCUCGUACGAAUCGAUAGGCCUCGAGCGCAAGGACGCCGUCCGCCGCCUGACGCAGGUAUGGAAACCAGGGCAUUUAAUGCGCCUGGUGUGUCCUCACCUAACCCGACAGUCAUGGGAAACAUGAUAGGGAGCAAGCACCCGUCCAAUCCCCCUUUUUUGCAGCUUUUUCCCUUUAGAAGAGCUAGGGUACGGCCGAGCACAGCGAGACAAUCGUGAUGUCGCUUCAUGACCCCCCUCGAGACAUCCAAAGUCAGCGCAUCGAUCAGCGAGGCCAUGCGCAAUGCCGGACUCUCGAGCGAACAUGUUCCUUCCCAAAGAAGAGUCAGGCGGUGAAAGACAGCACCUCAACCACUCCGGACAUGACUGCUGUCACGAUGUACAGGCGUGCCCACGGUUGAGCCAAUCCAGGAUAGUGCAUAGGAGCCGAAUUCGGAAGCACACGUAAUCAUCACCAAAGUUCUGAGUAACAAGAUGGCUCGAGGCCACGCCGGUACGGAAGCCUCGAGCAGGUCAGCGCACCACGCCCCUAUCGACCCCUACUCUAUCACCUACGUCGUGUAACCUAGGCCUCCCCUUGGAACUAUAAAAGGGGAGACAUAGGAAAGGAUGGGGGGACGACAUAUGUAGAAGAACAACCAUACAUCGCCUCCAUCUAGAACUCAGAAUCCAUCACAACACCGACUUGUAUUUGCCCCUGUACAAGCACUUAGGUGCAAGAUAAGAGAAACAUCUCCCCCCACUGGAUGUAGGGCCUUCUCUUGCCCGAACUAGGAUAAAUCUUUGUGUCUUUCUUGCAUCACCAUCUAGGAAAGGGAACACGCACACAAGUUUUACUUGUUGGUGUGACCCCCCAGGCGUAAAACACCGACAUGAUGAGCUUCCCAUAAAUGACUACUUAAGGGAUGACACCCUGGUUAAGAUAACACAUGUAGAUCCAUGGUACGCAGACAUCGUAAACUUUAUAGUAAAAGGCUAUGUCCCACCUGGUACAAGCAAAAGGAAGUUGCUUCACGAUAGUUGUUUCCACCAUUGGGAUGAGCCAUAUCUUUUCCGAGUCUGCACUGAUGGACUCUUGAGCAGGUGUGUUCCUAUGGCUGAGGCUACUCAAAUUAAGGAAAGAUGCCAUGCCUUGCCAUAUGGAGGACACUAUGGAGCAUUUCGGACACAUGCUAAAAUUUGGCAAAGUGGCUUUUGUGGCCAACGAUGUAUGAAGACACAAAGGACUUUGUCAGGAGAUGCCACCGAUGUCAAAAACAUGGGAAUAUCAACUCACAAAAUGAAAUGCCUCUCACAAAUAAUCUUCAAGUAGAACUUUUCGAUGUAUGGGGCAUUGACUUCAUGGGACCAUUCCCUAUGUCCGAGAAUUGUGAGUAUAUCUUAGUAGCUAUGGACUACGUGUCCAAAUGGGUAGAAGCCUACCAGUUGAUUCUUAACAUGCCAAGAGAAUGUUCCAUGAAGUAAUCUUUCCUCGCUUUGGUAUACCCCGGAUAGUUAUAAGCGAUGGAGGUUCCCACUUCAUCGACAAAAUAUUCCAGAAGUACCUAGCCGAUCAUGGAGUUCGACACAAUGUCGCAACACCAUACUAUCCUCAGACUAGCGGUCAAGCCAAAACAUCUAACAAACAAAUCAAAAAUAUUCUACAAAACACCGUAUAUGAGAUGGGUAAGGGGUGGAAGGACAAACUUCCUGAUGCACUUUGGGCAUAUAGAACUGUCGAGGGUAUCAACAAGGGGUACCCUAACCAAUGCACAUAAUGGGAGGACCCGCAUAUAAAUCGAGGCCCCUGACUCGACGCCCCCCCGUCCUCACGCGUGACUGCCAAAAUACAAUGUCGACCAUAGCCUCGAACAUGGAAAGGGGGUCGUGCGAAUCAACCAAGGCACGACCGAACAGCAACCGUCGAAUACGGAACUGGCUCGUACGAACCAACGAGCCUCGAGCGCAAGGACGCCGCCCGCCGCCUGACGCGGGCACGGGAACCAGGGCAUUUAAUGUGCCUGCCGCGUUCUCACCUAACCCGACUAUCACGGGAAGUGUGAUAGGGAACAGGCACCCGUCCAAUCGCUCCUUUUUGCAGUCUUACCCACCAGACGAGCCAGAGUACGGCAGGACGCAGCGAGAUGGUCGGAACAUCUCGUCAGGACCCCCCUCGAGACGCCCAAAGUCAGCGCUUCGUUCAGCAGGGCUUUGUGCGGCACCCGACCCUCGAGCGGGUAUGUUCCUUCCCAGAGAAGAGUCGGGCGAUGAAAGACGGCACCUCAACCACUCUGACGCGACUGCAGCUACGACGUACAAGCGUGCCACGGAUAACCCAGUUCAGGACAACGCGUAGGAGCCGAAUUCAAGGGCACGCAUAAUCAUCACCCAAGUACUGUAUAACAAGACGGCUCGAGGCCACGCCGGUACGGAAGCCUCGAGUAGGUCAGCGUGCCAUACACCUAUCGACCCCUACUCUAUCACCUAUGCCAUGUAAUCCGGGUCUCCCCUUGGAACUAUAAUAGGGGAGGCACGGGAAGGGAUAGGGGACAAGAGACAUACGUAGAGGAACCACCAUACUUCAUCUCCAUCCAUCCACAAUACCGACUUGUAUUCACCCCUGUAGGAGCACUUAGGUGCAAGAUAAUAGAAACAUCUCCCCCCCCCGUUGGACGUAGGGCCUUCUCUUGCCUGAACCAGGAUAAAUCUUUGUGUUUUUCUUGCAUCACCAUCUAGGAAGGGGAACACGCACACAAGUUUUACUCGUUGGUGUGACCCCCCGGGGGAAAACACUGACAGUUGGCGCGCCAGGUAGGGGUCCUACGUGUUCUUUCACCAACUUCCCAUCUCCUUCCAGAUGGCCACUCUCGUUUCACCGAUUCCGCGCUCCACGGUGAUUUGGUUUGGGAGCCUCGAGUUCAUGUCUACUGGCUUCGGCUACGACAUGAUUCUGCUCUCGGUCAAAGGACCGGGAGGAGCUCGCAUUGCGCCCGCACGAUUGAGGGCUCCAAGACGGCCUCACCACCAUGCCUCCCCGCCCAAGAAGAGGCGUGGACAGCGCCGCCACCACUGCUCUGCCUCCUCACGGUUGUCGGCUCGUGCCAGGCGGAUGGUGACGAAGGAGCCGACAACCCCGCGCGCUAGAGCCGCGGGUACGACGGCCUGACGUCACGAGGAUCACGUGACGACGUUGGGUGAUGACGCGCCUCGCGCGCUCUCAUCCCCCACAACGCUACUUCCGCAUGGGUUGUUCGCCCCAAGAAGAGCACUACCGUUCGGUCUGGACAGCGCCGCGACGUCGCUCGCCAGGACGAUAUGUCCAAACGUCGAGAUGUACGUGGAGCGGCCAAUGGUCCUCCCGCGCGACGCUGGAGCACAGCAGCAAGCAUCCGAGCUGCCGGAUUUCUCCUAGGUACGAGGCCUCCGCCGCCUAGGUCCUGGGCGAUACAUGAUCACCUCACUCAGGCAACGGCUGGCGGAAGAAGGACGCGGAUGUUUCUACGCCGCAGAGCCGGAUCCCGACUCUGAGUCCGACAGCUACGACCCUACGAGGGAAUGCUUCAACAUCGACGAAGAGGCGGAGACCACAGACGAAACACAUGAUGCCGUCACCGGAGGUUGAGCCCCUAUAGCAAGGGAGGACUCCAGGACACCUGGGAACAACGGUCAGGUCGACCCUCCGCCUCAGGAAGACAAAGCCGCGCAACUUACGCAGCUACGGGAGCUCAAAGCAAAGCUUGAUGAAGAUCGCGAGCGCCUUGCUGAGCUCGAGCGGGUCCUCGAGUAGGACCAACCAUACCCACAUUGCGGAGGUGCGUGAGGACGGGCUCGAGAAGUACACUGACAAAUUGUCGGGGAUGGGGAACCAGAACAACCCGUCAGCCGCUUCCCUUGAGCGGGCUAGAACGUCAUGGCAGCAACCAUGCUGCUACAUAACAUGCCUGCACCUUCGAACUCCCAAGCAUGGUGCAUUCGAGAUGAAGUGCAGACUCUGCUUCAGGUGGCGGCGGCUCAGCGAGCCGAAAGCUCGGCCUCUCGACGGCGAGGGGCGAUCUCGGAGAAGCACGACGAGCCGGUUCGAAAUGAAAGGGAGGUGUCCGUUGUUGACACUUGUUAACACCACUUGAAUACUAGGUUGUCAUCCCCAACAUGGCACUAGAGUGUACUAUGGUAUUUAUACGCACACAGAUAAUCCGCAAGCGCACGGAUACCGUUGAAGCUUUUACCCAGUUAAAGGUUUUAUCGUAUCCACAGGGAAACGGGAGACCCAACUACGCUCUAACUUAACCAAGAUAGAUAGAUAAGUGUAAAUAGGAAAGAUGGUAGAAUUGAAUAAGAACAAUAUUAAAGGUAAGAUAACAGUGAGUGAUAAUAUGGGAAUAGAGAGUAGAGCAAUUCUAGUAUAUGAGCGAUGCUAGCAGAAUAGAGAGGAUAACUAUGGUUUCUCUACUUCAAAGGGGUAUGUCUAUGUCUAGGACGAACCACGUGAUAAGAGUAUACCACAAAGGAUGCUUAUCCAUAGGCUGAUAAACCCUACCCGUCCUGCUAAUGAGAGGUGGACUACAGAGGACCAACGUCACCGUCACCUACGCGGCCUACCACACGAUCCAGCUAGAUAGGGCAUGUCCACAAGUAAUCUAGGUCUAAGCACCAUGCUUACACCUAUACUACAACUCUAACCUAUAGGGUCCUAUAGAUUAGAAGUACUCAAAAGAGUUGUGAACCAGAACAUACAUAAUUAGUAAUUGCAUAAUGAAUUAGAAGUAGAUUACCAGAGUCAUCCCAUGAGCAAGCUUGAUUAGAGCUUGAUCAUGACGAAGUACAACCGGAGGAAGAACCGACAGGCCGGCCUCUCCUCUAAUCCUCCUUCGCUCUUCAUCUCGCUACUAUCUAGAUCUACUCUAGUUUAGAGAAGAGAGGAGAGCUCUCAUCUCUAAACCCUAGCUUUUGCCCUGUCUAUGAAUAAUGAAUAAUGAUCAAGUGGUGCCUCCUCCAGGGGCCAGGGGGUCUGCUUAUAUAGUCCCCUCAAGUGAACCUGGGCUGUCGGAUCAAACCGACAUUGAUUGAACGGUUAUUCUUGAUCCUUUAGGCCGGUGGAGCGUAAUCCCCGAAGAGAGUCCUGAUUGGACUCUAUAGCUGGGCGGGCGCCCUGCCCCCGAGCCCGCUCGGCAUCCCGUUCGUUCCUGUGGCUUCUGGAGUCUUCUAGAUGAUAGAAAAUUGCACGGCACGUUAAUAUCUCUAUGUAAACCCGACGUGUGGGCCUUCUCUCCAUAUUUCCUGAUAACCCCCUGCAGAAAUAGACAAACACCAAAACUCGUGGAAUUCUGUCAGAUAAAACCCUAUGUUUAGAUGUUGGUUGUAUUUGGAUCCUUUUCUUUGUUUAUUUGCUGAUUAUAUUUGGUACUUAAGGACCGUCAACAACUCCCCCAAGCUUACCUCUUGCUCGUCCCUGAGCAAGGAUGGACUCAAGAGUUUUUGCAUUGGUUUUAUGCCUUAAAGGUACUCAUGCGUUCAAACAAGAUCUCAUCUCUAGGUUAAGGUAAACUGUUAAGAUUUAAACUUACUCAUAUUACCUUCCACCAUGGGGCUUGCAACAGUCACAUGUGUCUUGAGCAGUUAAAACAUAGAACGGUCAAGUCAAGCACCAUGUCUCUUGUUCUUUGAUUAACUAAAGUUCUGGAGUUUUUUUUUUGCAGAUUUUCAAAUAAAACUCAGAGAUUCGUUGUAUGACCCUCUCUAGUCUCUCUUUUGUGGUAUUUCUGGAUCCUUACCAAGGCAGUGAUAAUAUACGCCUUCUCUCAAAGUAUGUAGUAUUUGUGGUAUGAGGCAUAGUGAUAUUGCCUUCUCUCUCACCCUACUAUAAUAAGGUUUGAUAUCUGGAGCUCAUAGGUGGGAGACAGCUAAUACAUACUUACAAGACAUUUAUUGCAUAGUCAAACCAUGGAUCCAGAAAAACAAGUCAAUAAGUCAAAUCAAGAUGUGCAUGUGUGGCGAAUGAAUGGUGAUAAUGGUGAAAACAAUGGUGAAAGUCUAAUUCUACUUUUGCUCUUUUGAGGGGAUACAUACCUUUCUUGCACUUUGAAGCUUUUUGAGGGGAAUGAGAUGCUCUAUAUUUUCUUUUUCUUUUCUCUCAGGUGGGUAUCUUGUACCCCUAAUUCUACUAUCGGACACUUGUCGAUUUUUACCUCUCAUCUCACUUUUUAAUUUUCUUCGAGGUUCCGGGCACUUGCCCCUUUUUAUUUCCUCGUAUUUUUUUCCUUUUUUUAGAGCACUCACCCUCCUAGAAUAAUGUAGCAAGUGGUCGUAACCAAAAUAUCUGGAGCAUUUAUUUCAUGGGGAGUAAUUGGGAUAGAAUAAUGUUUUUGGCUAUUCUCUCCCAGAUAAGAGUAGAAUAAUUUUGGGUGAAUCUGGAGAUGGAAAUGAGUGGAUGUAUGUGGAUGCAUACUUCCGGAGUAGAAGCAGCAUGUAUGAGUGGACGUGCAAGUGAAUCUUGAUUAUAACCGCAUUACAAGCUCCUAAGGGUCUACAUAGCUUGACCACACUCAAUGCUCAUAAGCACUAAAAAGUAAAUGUAUGGUUCAUAGUCUCAUAAGCAUGUAUAUGUGGCUGUGGUAGGAUUUUAAACUCUCAUCAUAUAGGAACUCAUCAUGCAACAUUUUAAAGAUUUUCAAAGAUAAAAUUCUCUAGAAUUCUAGCAUCUCUAGGAACAGAUAAACAGCAGCUCAACCUUCCCAUAUCAUAUCCGUUAACGACUUAGACUUUAGAUCAAGUACUCUUCCCACAAGUUUAGGUUUAUAGCAAAUCUUAAUUCAUAACAGUCAUGCCUAAACUUGAGAGAGAUUUCAAUUCUGAGAACUAGUCAUGGCAGAGCAACUAUUCAUCAUUCCUAUGUGAGAGCUUAACAUGAGCGUUCAUAGCAAACUUUACUUAUUUAUUUAUUUAGCAAACUAAGCAUAGAUAUAUAUAUAAGCAUAAAAUCUUUAUUUGGGUUUUUAUGAUUAUGCAUCUUUUUAUUAUUUGAGUAAAGUAUAAAUGCGAGUAGAAACACUUAGCUGGAUAAAUGGGGGUGCUCUCCCCCAAGCUGGAUUUUGACGUAAUUUCUUUUGAUGUAGCUAGCAAGUGGCGGAGGUGUAUUUGAAUGUCGGUAGCACCCUGACAGCGAUUAGAAUGUCCUCCAUCUGCUAGUCUUCUUUGAUCCUUGAAUUCUGUGGAGCUCAAAUAGACAACAAAGCUUUGUGGAACAGGUGAAGUGUUAGCAUAAAAUCUCUUAGCUGUUAUCAUGUUGAGCUUCCUCUAAUAAAUGUUAUUCUCCUUAGUGGCAUCAUAAUCUUAUUUUUAUAUUUUCAUUUUUAUAGGACAGGAAUAUAUUUAUUUUAUUUUUACGCCACCACAGUGAAUGUACUUAUGGGUUUCAUGCCACGAGCAUACUCACAUGGGGCUUAGUAUUUUUUUAACAUUUUUAUUUUCUUUUCAAGAUAGCAUGAUUAACUAAUAAUCUAUUUAAGGAUAGUAAAUAAUUAAAUAGAAAAGGGAAUGCAGAAAGGAUAAAUAUGGAUAACUACCGAUUUUACCUUUCGACGAGGAUUCAAUGUUUUAAGUCUUCUGAACAAGACUUCUCACCGUGUUCAUUCUUCAGGUGCGUCAUUUGAUUCAUGUGUGGACCUUGACAUCUGCACCUCUUAAUACGGUGUCACUCAUGUUCUUCGUUUGCCCAGUAGUUCGAAGUGCGGUGUUGGCAGUAUCUUGCUCAGUGUGUUUGUGCUCGUAGUGUACCUGCUCAUAGAGACAAGGCAGAGAUCAAGUGCAUGGGCCCUGUUGGUGGAAAACACCAACAGAACCAAAAGUGUAUUUGUUCUUCUCUAACCUUAAGCAUGGUGAGCAAGACAAAGUUGAUGAAUGAUAAGUUCAUGAGUGUAGCAUUUAAAACAUUUGCUAGAUCAGAUCGCUCAACCUAAUGGAAAGAUAAUCUAUCUAUAUAUAUGCCUUUUUCUUUAUAUCUUCCCAAAGAAUAAAUAUGCAACAUUUUAGCUCAUAUGGUUAGGAGUGUGGGAUCAUGGAGGUAGUACUAGGAACAAAGAUUAAAGGACUAAACAUGCUGAAUCAGUUGGGUUGGUUAAUUUUGAGUUAUAAAUCAUACACGUUUGUCUCUUUAUUUAUGUGAAUGCCAGAACCAAGGAGAAGCUUAUAAAAGUGAUAGUCAGAUAUCUUAAGAUGUUACCUUACUUGAAGAGUGAUGGUACAGUAUCACCUUGUGGAAGCUUUCCUUUCGUAGUGGUUGUGUAUCUUGUUUAUGUACUUUGUCUCCUUCCAUGGAUCAUCUCUGUAUGAUGAAUGAGCUAUGUCCUUCUUGUGCAAAUUGUUAAACUUCAUGUGUUACUCUCUUCAUCUCCGAUGUGAGUUUAUCUCAGGACUUCCCAGGUUGAUAGUGAAAGUUUUCCUGUAGGGGUUAGUCCGACAAAAUAUACCAAUAUCUACUCAAGCAGUUUUUAGUUCAGUAACCAAACUAGACUCCAUGACUAAUCAGAUUAAGGAAGGCUAUUUAACCUAAGCACCAUGCUCAAUUUAAAUGCCAAUGGAAGUAUGUCGAGUACUUCCAAACCAACAUUUGCUAGAAAAUAUUCAAAGGUAGCAUGACAGCAUUUAUAGAGAUCUACUCAAGUGGAGAUAGAGUAGUGUGAUUAGUAUUUAACAAAUUGAGCAUGUCUCAAAGGUAGGGACAACCAACAUAGCAACAUGGCAAAGGAUGUUAAGUACUCCCCCAAGCUUGAAUUUUGCAAAAUUCAAGUUUGGAUGAAUUUAAUUCAAUGUUGUAUGAUGAUUGGUUGGACAUACCUUGUGCUUGUCAUUCAUCCGAUCUUCUUGCUCCAAUCUUGGAAAGCUUAGUGACAAGAAUACCCGAAGGAAUAUUUUCACAAUUAUCCUUAUAUGCUCAAUACACAAGGUAAUGUUGUAAAUAAUUAAAAGCUCAUGUUACGAUCUGAGAUUAGUGCUUGUUUUAGGACACUAAGCUUGUCCUUGGGAAACCAUCAAUUUAUGUCGGGGAGAUCUGCAAUAUUUAUUAUAGACAUAUGCAUCGACAACCGCCCUUUUAAUGUUUUUAUAAAUAGUAAGGAAGAGGAGGUUGGAGAUCUCAAGUGUGGUGAUGUUGGAGAGACCAAUAGAUUGGGAAGAUAUUGCAUAUGAGCAUGGAGCAAAAGGAGUGGCUAUGAAAUAAAUUCCAUGCUCAUUAAUGUUAUCUUCGUCUCCAAUCUGAGUGUUUGGAGUUUCUCCUGGAUUGGUCUCACCUAUGUCCUCUUCUGUAGUUGGAUGAAUCUCAUCUUCAAAGGGAGUCAAGAACUCACCAUUCGAAAUUGAGCCAAAGUCAGAAUCCAUUAAAGCUUCUUCCUUAUCCAUCCAUUCUACGCAUUCUAGCCAUUUGGAACUUGUGAUCACGAAAGGGGAGGUGUUAGAAUUUUCUAUAUGGCUUAGCUCUCCUUCACUUGAUAUGUCAUCCUUGACUUCUUCAUAAUAGGAACUAGGACAUUCUCUAAGAGAACCAUUAUUGCGAGGAUUUGAAUUAUCCCUGCUUGAAGGUCUCUUAUGGAACCAGAAGUCUAAACCAUCAGCAUCUGAAAGAUUUAAGGUCGAAAUUCCUUCCUCCCUUGGAGAAUUUUGGGGUAUUGAUGGUUUAGGAUCGAUAGCUAAAGUUUGGAAUUGAAGUGGUUGUAAUCUGGCUAUCGAAACUUCUUGUUCUUGUCUAGGAACUGGUUGUGUCUCUUUCUCAGGGAUAUAAAACCUACGAGACUUUCCACUCAUUAAAUCAAUCAAAUUCGAAGAUUCACUAGUGGAUAGGUGGUGGAAAGAUCCUCCAGAGGCCGCAUGAAGGGUUUGCUUAUUUUUCCUACUAAGGCCCUCAAAAAAGUGAAUUAGAAGAACUUCUUCUGGAAUAGAAAGCUUUGGGCUAGUGAGAGUAAGGUUAAUAAAGCGGUCCCAUGAUUUGCCAAGAGAUUCUUCUUCCAGUUGUCUAAAAGAAAGAAUCUCACGCCGAAGUUCCACCACUUUGGAGAUUGGAAAAUAUUUAGAAAGAAAAUUACUAUAUAACUCCUUCCAAUCUCCAUGAACACUCCUUACUUUGAGUUUGUACCAAUGUCUAGCUUUUCCUGUUAAAGAGAACGGAAAGAGCUUCCAUUUAAGGGUCUCAUCGAACAUGCCUUCUAUGCGAAGGAGGUCACAGACUCGAUAAAACUCUCUUAGGUGUGUGUAUGGGUUUUCCUCACCUUCUCCUGAGAAAGGUUGUUUUUGAAUAAAUUCUAUGUAUUCGGGGUCUAUCUCAAAACUAGAUGCUAUGAUAGGCUUUGAAGAUUUUGGUGGUUCGAGAUGUGUGCCCGUAGGUCUAUGAAAUUCAUAGAUAGACUUGUUUGAAUUCAUGAUAGACUAGAGAUCAAGGAUUAGAUAAGAAGAAAGAAUAGCAGAGAUAAGGCAAAAGAUUAAAGGAAAAGUAUAUAUAUAUAUUUAUUUUUUAGAAAAUGGUUAAGCUAGUUCGUAGUCAACUCAGCAACCGUUUCCCCGGCAACGGCGCCAAAAAUGCUUGUUGACACUUGCUAACACCACUUGAAUACUAGGUUGUCAUCCCCAGCAUGGUACUAGAGUGUACUAUGGUAUUUAUACGCACACAGAAAAUCCGCAAGCGCACGGAUACCGUUGAGGCUUUGACCCAGUUAAAGGUUUUAUCGUAUCCAAAGGGAAACGGGAGAACCAACUACGCUCUAACUUAACCAAGAUAGAUAGAUAAGUGUAAAUAGGAAAGAUGGUAGAAUUGAAUAAGAACAAUAUUAAAGGUAAGAUAACAGUGAGUGAUAAUAUGGGAAUAAAGAGUAGAGCAAUUCUAGUAUAUGAGCGAUGGUAGCAGAAUAGAGAGGAUAACUAUGGUUUCUCUACUUCAAAGGGGUAUGUCUAUGUCUGGGACGAACCACGUGAUAAGAGUAUACCAACGAGAGGUGGACUACAGAGGACCAACGUAACUGUCACCUACGCGGCCUACCACACGAUCCAGCUAGAGAGGAGAUAUCCACAAGUAAUCUAGGUCUAAGCAACACACUUACACCUAUACUACAACUCUAACCUAUAGGGUCCUAUAGAUUAGAAGUACUCAAAAGAGUUGUGAACCAGAACAUACAUGAUUAGUAAUUGCAUAAUGAAUUAGAAGUAGAUUACCAGAGUCAUCCCAUGAGCAAGCUUGAUUAGAGCUUGAUCAUGACGAAGUACAACCGGAGGAAGAACCGACAGGUCGGCCUCUCCUCUAAUCCUCCUUAGCUCUCCAUCUCGCUACUAUCUAGAUCUACUCUAGUUUAGAGAAGAGAGGAGAGCUCUCAUCUCUAAACCCUAGCUUUUGCUCUGUCUAUGAAUAAUGAAUAAUGAUCAAGGGGUGCCUCCUCCAGGGGCCAGGGGGUCUGCUUAUAUAGUACCCUCAAGUGAACCAGGGCCGUCGGAUCAAACCGACAUUGAUUGAACGGUUAUUCUUUAUCCUUUAGGUCGGUGGAGCGUAAUCCCCGAAGAGAGUCCUGAUUGGACUCUGUAGCUGGGCGGGCGCCCUGCCCCUGAGCCCGCUCGGCCUCCCGUUCGUUCCUGUGGCUUCUGGAGUCUUCUAGAUGAUAGAAAAUUGCGCGGCACGUUAAUAUCUCUAUGUAAACCCGACAUGUGGGCCUUCUCUCCAUAUUUUCUGAUAACCCCCUACAGACAUAGACAAACACCAAAAGUCGUGGAAUUCUAUCAGAUAAAACCCUAAGUUUAGAUGUUGGUUGUAUUUGGAUCCUUUUCUUUGUUUAUUUGCUGAUUAUAUUUGGUACUUAAGGACCGUCAACAUCCGUCCAUCAGCAACUACCCCCUCGGGGAAAGAAAACAGCGCCUGUCCAAGGCCACCCCGUCGACAAUCAACGGAGACACGACGCAUGACACGACAUCAACGAGUAUCGUCGCCGUCAACAUGGGGAUGCGGAGGAGCGUGGUUACAGCGCCCACCGUGGCGGACGAUACGACAGCGACGAGGACUGGAUGGCCCCAGAACCACCGGGCCCUCGCGUGUUCAGCAGAGCAAUCCGUAGCACGCCACUGCCCAGCCCGUUUCGACCCCCAACCAGCAUUGCUAAAUACAACGGCGAAACCAAGCCGGAACUAUGGCUGGCAGACUUUCGGCUGUCCUGUCAGUUGGGUGGUGCUCGAGGGGACGAUCGAGGCAUUAUCCAACAGCUGCCACUUUUCCUCUCUGACACCGCCCGUAGAUGGCUCGAGGAACUCCCUACCAACCAGAUCCACGAUUGGACUGAUUUAGUCAGGGUGUUCGAGGGCAACUUCAAAGGGACCUACAUACGACCCGGCAAUUCGUGGGACCUCAGCAUGUGCAAGCAGAAAUCAGGAGAAACUCUCCGAGAGCAUACUCGACGCUUCUCGAAGCAAUGCACCGAGCUGCCGCACAUCUGUUGGGUAUUUUAAACGCAAACAGAAAAAUCCGCAAGCGCACGGAUACGGAUGUAGCCUUCACCCGGGAGUAUUCCAGAGUAUCGAUUUUUCACAGGGAACGUGAGUGUACUAAUUAAGAUCCAAGAUCGCCCAAGGAUAACUAUAUAAUUAUUUUUGGUGGGAAGAGAGGAAGUUUCCUGAGAGUUCUCUAGUUGAUCUAAGAAUCAAGAUUUACUUCAAGAUUAUCUAUUUUGGGACAUCAGAACACUAACCACAGAAAGAGAUGAGAAGGGGGCUAGGAAGCUCCGACUACGGUCCUACAAACACCGAUCCGAACGAGGUGGAAUACGUCGACCGUUAAUGCUGUCACUACCCUAAGACUACCACAACAAUCCACAGGAUUGGGUGCAAUUCCAGGUAAUCGCAAGACUAAACACCACGUCUAAUCUAUUAAUUACUACUCUAGCGUUAUAAAGACUAGAGCACUUGAUGCAAGCUGGAAUCUAAUAAACAACUUGAAUGUAAAUAAAAGUAAUUAGAGAACUCAGGAAUUAUGAAUUGAAGAACCUAGAGAACGAUGAAGAACGAACCAGUUGCUGCAAAAGUAUAAUGUUGAGGAAGAUCCGACAGAUCUGGCUCCUCCUCCGCUCUCCUCUUCUCACUCCCUAUUUUCUAGAUUACAACUAGAACUAACUAGAACUAGAACUAGAGGAACUAGAACUAGAACUAGAUGAACUAGAACUAGAUCUAGAUGAACUAGAGGUAGAACUAGAAGAACUAGGGGGAUCCUCUCUACUUGGAUGAAGAAUUGAAACCCUAACUUUGAUUCUGUAGAAGAGGUAUGCUCUCCAGGGGCCAGGGGGCCUUGCUUAUAUAGUCUUUUCAGAUGAAUAUGGGCCAUCGGAUCAAACCGACAUUAAUCGCACGGUUUUCCUUGGUCCCUUAGGUCGGUGGAGCACGAUCCGCGAAGUUGAAGCUGAUUGGUUACUAUAGCUGGGCGGGCACCCAAGGGACUUGGGCGGGCGCCCUGCCCCCGGGCCCGAUCGGCCUCCCAUUCGUUCCUGUGGCUUCUAGAGUCUUCUAGAUGGUAGAAAAUUGCGUGGCACAUUAAUAUCUCUAUGUAAACCAGACGUGUGGGCCUUUCUUUCAUAUUUCCUGAUAACCCCCUGCAGAAAUAGACAAACACCAAAACUUGUGGAAUUCUGUCAGAUAAAACCCUAAGUCUAGGUGUUGGUUGCAUUUGGAUCCUUUUCUAUGAUUAGUUGAUGGUUAAAUGUAAGCAUUAAGGACCAUCAACAAGCUCCCCCAAGCUUAACCUUUGCUCGUCCCUGAGCAAAGAUGAACUUAAGAGUUUCUGCAGUGGUUUCAUGCCUUAAAGAUAUACAUGCGUUCAAACAAGAUCUCAUCUCUUGGUUAGGGUAAACUGUUAAGAUUUAAACUUACUCAUUUUACCUUCCACCAUGGGGCUUGCAACCGUCACUUGUGUCUUGAGUAGUUAAAAGAUAGAACGGUCUAGUCAAGCGCCAUGUCUCUUGUUCUUCGAUUAAAUAUAGCUCUGGAGUUUUUGCAGAUUUUCAAAUAAAACUCAGAGAUUCCUUGUAUGACUCUGUCUAGUCUCUCUUUUGUGGUAUUUCUGGAUCCUUACCAAGGCAGGGAUGGUGUAUGCCUUCUCUCAAAGUAUGUGGUAUUUUUGGUAUAAGGCAUAGUGGCAUUGCCUUCUCUCUCACCCUACUCUAAUAAGGUUUUGAUAUCUGGAGCUCAUAGGUGGGAGACAGCUAAUACAUACUUACAAGACAUUUAUUGCAUAGUCAAACCAUGGAUCCAGAAGAACAAGUCAAUAAUUCAAAUCAAGAUGUGCAUGUGUGGCGAAUGAAUGGUGAUAAUGUUGAAAGUAAUGGUGAUAACAAUGGUGAAAGUCUAAUUCUACUUGUGCUCUUUUGAGGGGAUACAUACCUUUCUUGCUCUUUUGAAACUUUUUGAGGAGAAUGAGAUGCUCUAUAUUUUCUUUUUUCUUUCCUCACAGGUGGGUAUCUUGUACCCCUAAUUCUACUGUCGGACACUUGUCCAUUUUUACCUCUCGUCUCACUUUUUCUUUUCUUUUGAGGUUCCGGGCACUUGCCCCUUUUUAUUUCCUCUUAUACUUUUUUUUCUUUUUUUUAGAGCACUCAUCUCCUGAAAUAAUAUAGCAAGUGGUAGUAACCAAGAUAACUUGAGCAUUUAUUUCACAAGGAAAAACAGAAAUGUUUUUGGCUAUUCUCUCCCGGAUUAGGAGUAGAAUAUUUUUAGGUGAUUCUGGAGAUGGAAAUGGGUGGAUAUAUGUGGAUGUGUACUUCCGGAGUAGAAGCAGCAUGUGUGAGUGAACGUGCAAGUGAAUCUUGAUUUAACCACAUGACAGUCUCCUAAGGGUCUACACAGCUUGACCACACUCAAUGCUCAUAAGCAGUAAAAAGUAAAUGUGUGGCUCAAAGUCUAGCAAGCAUGUAUAUAUGGCUGUGGUAGGAAUUUAAACUCUCAUCAUACAGGAACUCAUCAUGUGAUAUUUUAAAGAUUUUCAUAGAUAAAAUUCUCCAGAAUUCUAGCAUCUCUAGUAAUAGAUAAACAGCAGCUCAACCUUCCCAUAUCAUAUCCAUUAACGACUUAGACUUUAGAUCAAGUACUCUCCCCACAAGUUCAGGUUUUGAGCAAAUCUUAAUUAAUACCAGUCAUGCCUACACUUGAGAGAGAUUUCAAUUUUAAGAACUAGUCAUGGCAGAGCAACUAUUCAUCAUUUUCAUGAGCGAGCUUAUCAUGAGGGUUCAUAGCAAACUUUAUUUAUUUAUUUAUUUAGCAAACUAAGAAGAGAUAUAUAUAUAUAUAUAAGCACAAAAUCUUUAUUUGGGUUUUCAUGAUUAUGCAUCUUUUUAUUAUUUGAGUAAAAUAUAAACAUGAGUAGAACACUUAGCUGGAUAAAUGGGGGUGCUCUCCCCCAAGCUGGAUUUUGACAUAAUUCCUUCUGAUGUAGCUAGCAAGUGGUGGAGGUGUAUUUGAAUGUCAGCAGCACCCUGACAGCGAUUAGGAUGUCCUCCGUCUGCUAGUCUUCUUUGAUCCUCGAAUUCUGUGGAGCUCAAAUAGACAACAAAGCUUUGUGGAACUGGUUAGGUGUUAGCAUAAAAUCUAGCCUUUAUCAUGUUGAGCCUCCUCAAUAAAUGUUACUCUCUUUAGUAGGAUCAUAAAUUUAUUUUUGUAUUUUUAUUUUUAUAGGAUAGGAAUAUAUUUAUUUCAUUUUUACGCCACCACAGUGAAUGUACUUAUGGGUUUUAUUCCAUGAGUAUACUCACAUGGGGCUUACUAUUUUAAACAUUUUUAUUUUCUUUUCAAGAUGAUGUGAACCUGAUUAACUAAGCAAACUAUUUUAAAUAAUUGAAAGGAAAAAGAUAACUACCAAGUUUACCUCUUGGCAAGACGUUCAGUGUUUUUAAGUCCUCCGAACUGGACUCUCCGUUUUCUCAGUCGUCUUGGGAUUCGCUGGAUGGCGUAGUCGGUGGUUCCGGCGGCGCCUGCUCUUCAUGUAUAACUAUCUUCUCUCUACACACCUAACUCGGUGCUACGGUCUCCUCAGGACAGCUCUAUUCAAGCUGUAUGUCUUCAGACAUUACCACUUCUCCUUCGUAGUCCGCCCAUCCGUCCUUGAUGAUUUGCCUUCUCUGGUUGCGGUUGCGUCGUAUUAUUCUUGUCCUGACCUGCUUAGAGUCUUCAACUAUAUAGUUAGGGUCAGUAAAAUAGUGGCGUACCUUCUCAGAGGGGAAGUGCAUGUGGACUUCUCCGGUUCCAAUCUAGAUGAUUGCUUUAACAGUGCUGAGGAACGGUCUUCCAAAGAUGAUGGGUGGAUCGUGCUCGUCUUCUCCCAUGUCAGUAACCUUCAACCUUUCGGAAUGUCUGAUCUUCCAUCUAGAGCUAAAUGUAUUUCGGUUUUAGGGGUAUGGUUCCGAACAGGAGUUGAUAGGUGACUGCGGCCAUUAUGUUGAUGCCUGACCCGGUGUCGCAAAGUGUCUUCUAGAAGUUUUAUCCAUUAAUGGAGCACUAGAUGCUUGGCAUGCCUGGGUCGUCCUUUUUGGUUAGGAACGGUGACUUAAAUAGAUGAUCCUGACCUCCUUGAACUGCAGUGACCAUCUUAGCUGACUCGGUCCACACUUGCUUGUUCCUGUUCCUCCUGUUGGUCCUCUUCCUUGGUUCAUGUCGGGAAUGCUCUGAGAUUUGUGUAGUCUUGUUCUUAAAGGAAAACGUCUCAUUUCUCCCUUUGAUGUAGAAACUGAUCUUGGCAGCACUAGCAUAGAUGACAGCUCUCGAGGUGUUCAGGAAUGGCCUCCCUAAGACGGGUGCCCUCUCAUCAGUACCAGUCUCUAUCACCACGAAGUUUGCUGGGGCGUACAAGGUACCAACUCGGACGCAAAGGUUCUUCAAUAUUCCCUUUGGGAAACUUAGUGUCUGAUCUACAGGCUGCAAGCACAUGGUUGUUUCUAGUAAAGGAUGUGUAAAGAAUUUUUUCAUAGAGUACCUUGGGCAUAAUGUUGACGCUGGAGCCAAAGUCGCAGAGUGAUUCUAGGAAGUCCACCAUGCCGAUGGAGAUCGGGAUGACGGGGCGUCUUGGAUCACCUCUCUAAGUAGUUAGGCCUCUGAUGAUUCCAACCUUGAUUUUGUUGAGGACGGUUAUAGUUGUUGUUGUUGUUGAUGAUGUAGUUUACGUCCUCAAGCAUCUCAGGGCAGUGAUUGCCUGAGUGUCCAGUAUCUCCAGUGUGUUUGUGCUCGUAGAUCUAGGUUCUUCACUUGGUGGAGAGUAAAAGUCCUUCAUAUUUUUGCUCGAAGUGUUCCUGCUCAUAGAGACAAGGCAGAGAUCAAGUGCAUGGGCCCUGUUGGUGGAAAACACCAACAGAACCAAAAGUGUAUUUGUUCUUCUCUAACCUUAAGCAUAGUGAGCGAGACAAAGUUGAUGGAUAAUAAGAUCAUGAGUGUAGCAUUUAAAGUAUUUGUCAGAUCAGAUCGCUCAACCUAAUGUAAAGAUAAUCUAUUUAUACUUAUGUUUUUAUAUAUAUAUAUAUAUCUUCUAAAGAUUGAGUGUGCAACAUUUUAGCUCAUAUGAUUAGGAGUGUGGGAUCACAAAGGUGGAAGGACUAAACAUAUUGAAUCGAUUGGAUUUGUUAAUCUAGAGUUGUAAAUCAUACAUGUUUGUCUCUUUAUUCAUGUGAAUGCCAGAACCAAUGAGAAACUUAUAAAAAGGAAUGAUAGUCAAGUACCUUAAAAUGUUACCUUACUUGAAGAGUGAUGGUACAGUAUCACCUUGUGAAAGCUUUCCUUUCUUAGCGGUUGUGCAUCGUGUUUGUGGCACCGUCCAUGAAUCAUCUCUUGUGAGCUAUGCCUUCCUUGUGUAAAUUGUUAACCUUCAUGAGUCUCUCUCUUUGUCUCCAAUGUGAGUUUAUCUCAGGACUUCCCAGGUCGAUAUUGAAAGUUUUCCUGCAGGGGUUAGUCUAACAAAAUAUCCAAUAUCUACUAUAGCAUACUAUCGGCUCAAAAAUCAACCUAGACACCAUGUCUAAUUUGAUUCAGGAGGGCAUUUUGACCUAAGCACCAUGCUUAAAUUAAACUCCCUUGGAAGUAAGAUCAUCAUUCCUAAACUAAGCACCAUGCUUAAUUAAGGGAUAAAUGAAACUACUCCAAACCUAGACAUGUACUAAAGCAAAUAAAGGUAGUAUGAGAGCAUUUAUAGAGAUCCACUUGUUGGGUAUUUUAAACGCAAACAGAAAAAUCCGCAAGCGCACGGGUACCGAUGUAGCUUUCACCCGGGAGUAUUCUAGAGUAUCGAUUUUCCACAGAGAACGUGAGUGUACUAAUUAAGAUCCAAGAUCGCCCAAGGAUAACUAUAUAAUUAUUUUUGGUGGGAAGAGAGGAAGUUUCCUGAGAGUUCUCUAGUUGAUCUAAGAAUCAAGAAUUACUUCAAGAUUAUCUAUAUCGGGACAUCAGAACACUAACCACAGAAAGAGAUGAGAAGGGGGCUAGGAAGGUCCGACUACGGUCCUACAAACACCGACCCGAACGUGGUGGAAUACGUCGACCGUUAGGGUUGUCACUACCCUAAGGCUACCACAACAAUCCGCAAGAUUGGGUGCAAUUCCAGGUAAUUGCAAGACUAAACACCACGUCUAAUCUAUUAAUUACUACUCUAAUGUUUCAAAGAUUAGAGCACUUGAUGCAAGCGGGAAUCCAAUAAAUAACUUGAAUGUAAAUAAAAGUAAUUAGAGAACUCAGGAGUUAUGAAUUGAAGAACCUGGAGAACGAUGAAGAACGAACCAGUUGCUGCAAAAGUACAAUGUUGAGGAAGAUCCGACAGAUCCGGCUCCUCCUUCUCCGCUCUCCUCUUCUCUCUCCCUAUUUUCUAGAUUACAACUAGAACUAACUAGAACUAGAACUAGAGGAACUAGAACUAGAACUAGAUGAACUAGAACUAGAUCUAGAUGAACUAGAGGUAGAACUAGAAGAACUAGAGGGAUCCUCUCUACUUGGAUGAAGAAUUGAAACCCUAGCUUUGAUUCUGUAGAAGAGGUAUGAUCUCCAAGGGCCAGGGGGUCUGGUUUUAUAGUCCUUUCAAGUGAAUCUGGGCCGUCGGAUCAAACCGACAUUGAUCGCACGGUUUUCCUUGAUCAUUUAGGUCGGUGGAGCGUUGUCCGCGAAACGUGACCGAAUUGGUCUCUGGAAGUGGGCGGGUGCCCAAGGGACUAGGGCGGGCGCCCUGUGCCUGAGCCCUCUCGGCCUCCGCUUCGGUCCCGUGGCUUCUGGAGUCUUCUAGAUGAUAGAAAAUUGCCCGACACAUUAAUAUCUCCAUGUAAACCUGACGUGUGGGCCUUUCUUCCAUAUUUCCUGAUAACCCCCUGCAAAAAUACACAAACACCAAAACUCGUGGAAUUCUGUCAGAUAAAACCCUAAGUCUAGGUGUUGGUUGCAUUUGGAUCCUUUUCCAUGAUUAAUUGAUGGUUAAUUGUGAGCAUUAAGGACCGUCAACAAGCUCCCCUAAGCUUAACCUUUGCUCGUCCCUGAGCAAAGAUGAACUCAAGAGUUUCUGCAGUGGUUUCAUAACCUAAAGAUACACAUGCGUUUAAACAAGAUCUCAUCUCUGGUUAGAGUAAACUGUUAAGACUUAAAACUUACUCAUUUACCUUUCACCAUGGGACUUGUAACCGUCACUUCUGUCUUGAGUAGUUAAAAGAUAGAACGGUCUAAUCAAGCGCCAUGUCUCAUGUUCUUGAUCAACUAUAGCUCUGGAGUUUUUGCAGAUUUUCAAAUAAAACUCAGAGAUUCCUUGUAUGACUCUCUCUAGUCUCUCUUUUGUGGUAUUUGUGGAUCCUUACCAAGGCAGUAAAGGUGUAUGCCUUCUCUCAAAGUAUGUGGUAUUUUUGAUAUGAGGCAUAAUGGCAUUGCCUUCUCUCUCACCCUACUCUAAUAAGGUUUUGAUAUCUGGAGCUUAUAGUUGGGAGACAGCUAAGACAUACUUACAAGACAUUUAUUGCAUAGUCAAACCAUGGAUCCAGAAGAACAAGUCAAUAAGUCAAAUCAAGAUGUGCAUGUGUGGCGAAUGAAUGGUGUAUGGUGAUGAUGGUGAUAACAAUGGUGGAAGUCUAAUUCUACUUAUACUCUUUUGAGGGGAUACAUACCUUUCUUGCUCUUUUGAAACUUUUCGAGGGGAAUGAGAUGCUCUAUAUUUUCUCUCUCUUUUUUUUCUUUUCUCUCAGGUGGGUAUUUUGUACCCCUAAUUCUACUGUCGGACACUUGUCCAUUUUUACCUCUCGUCUCACUUUUUCAUUUCUUUCGAGGUUCCGGGCACUUGCCCCUUUUUAUUUCCUCGUAUCUUGUUUUUUUUUCUCUUUUUUUUUCUUCUUUUUUUUAGAGCACUCAUCUCCUGAAAUAAUAUAGCAAGUGGUAGUAACCAAGAUAACUUGAGCAUUUAUUUCAAAGGGGAAAACAAAAAUGUUUUUGGCUAUUCUCUCCCGGAUUAGGAGUAGAAUAUUUUUAGGUGAUUCUGGAGAUGGAAAUGGGUGGAUAUAUGUGGAUGCGUACUUCCGGAGUAGAAGCAGCAUGUAUGAGUGAACGUGCAAGUGAAUCUUGACUUAACCACAUGACAAGCUCGUAAGGGUCUACACAGCUUGACCACACUCAAUGCUCAUAAGCAGUAAAAAGUAAAUGUGUGGCUCAAAGUCUAGCAAGCAUGUAUAUAUGGCUGUGGUAGGAAUUUAAACUCUCAUCAUACAGGAACUCAUCAUGCAACAUUUUAAAGAUUUUCAAAGAUAAAAUUCUCCAGAAUUCUAGCAUCUCUAGGAACAGAUAAACAACAGCUCAACCUUCCCAUAUCAUAUCCGUUAACGACUUAGACUUUAGAUCAAGUACUCUUCCCACAAGUUCAGGUUUAGAGCAAAUCUUAAUUAAUAACAGUCAUGCCUAAACUUGAGAGAGAUUUCAAUUUUAAGAACUAGUCAUGGCAGAGCAACUAUUCAUCAUUUCUAUGUGAGAGCUUAUCAUGAGGGUUCAUAGCAAACUUUAUUUAUUUAUUUAUUUAGCAAGCUAAGCAAAGAUAUAUAUAAGCACAAAAUCUUUAUUUGGGUUUCUAUGAUUAUGCAUCUUUUUAUUAUUAGAUUAAAGUAUAAACGUGAGUAGAAUACUUAGCUGGAUAAAUGGGGGUGCUCUCCCCCAAGCUGGAUUUUGACGUAGUUUCUUCUAAUGUAGUUAGCAAGUGGUGAAGGUGUAUUUGAAUGUCAGCAGCACCCUGACAGCGAUUAGGAUGUCCUCCGUCUGCUAGUCUUCUUUGAUCCUUGAAUUCUGUGGAGCUCAAAUAGACAACAAAGCUUUGUGGAACUAGUUAAGUGUUAGCAUAAAUAUCUAGCCUUUAUGAUGUUGAGCCUCCUCAAUAAAUGUUACUCUCUUUAGUAGGAUCACAAUCUUAUUUAUAUUUUCAUUUUUAUAGGACAGGAAUAUAUAUUUAUUUUUACGCCACCACAGUGAAUGUACUUAUGGGUUUUAUGCCAUGAGCAUACUCACAUGGGGCUUACUAUUUUUAACAUUUUUAUUUUCUUUUUAAGAUGAUGUGAACCUGAUUAACUAAGCAAACUAUUUUAAAAUAAUUGAAAGGAAAAAGAUAACAACCAAGUUUACCUCUUGGCAAAGCGUUCGGUGUUUUUAAGUCCUCCGAACGGGACUCUCCGUUUUCUCAUUCGUCCUGGGAUUCGCUGGAUGGCGUAGUCGAUGGUUCCGGCGGCGCUUCUUCUUCAUGUAUAACUAUCUUCUCUCUACACACCUGACUCGGUGCUACGGUCUCCUCAGGACAGUUCUGUUCAAGUUGUAUGUCUUCAGACCUUACACCUUCUCCUUCAUAGUCUACCCAUCCGUCCUUGAUGAUUUACCUCCCCUGGUUGUGGUUGCGUCGUCGUCUUCUUGUCCUGACUUGCUUAGAGUCUUCAACUAUAUAGUUAGGGUCAGUAAAACAGUGGCGUACCUUCUCUGAGGGGAAGUGCAUGUGGACUUCUCUGGUUCCAAUGUAUAUGAUUGCUUUAAUGGUGCUAAAGAACGGUCUUCCAAGGAUGAUGGGUGGAUCGUACUCGUCUUCUCCCAUGUCAAUAACCUUCAAUCUUUCAGAAUGUCUGAUCUGCCAUCUGGAGCUGAAUGUAUGUUGGUUGUAGGGACAUGGUUCCAUGCAGGAGCUGAUAAGUGACUGUAGCCAUUAUGUUGACGUUAGAUCCGGUGUCGUAGAGUGUCUUCUGAAAAGAAUAUCCGUUGAUUGUGCACUCGAUGCUUGGGACACCAGGGUCGUCCUUCUUGAUCAAGAAAGGUGACUUGAGUUGACGAUCUUGACCUCCUUGAGCUGCAGUGACCAUCUUAGCUGACUCGGUACACAUUUGCUUGUUCUUAUUCCUCCUGUUGGUCCUCUUCCUUGGUUCAUGU